RNAcentral lists this long non-coding RNA (47671 nucleotides) under Zea mays. RNAcentral's name for it is "long non-coding RNA (ZMAY_LNC002970)". Lineage: Eukaryota; Viridiplantae; Streptophyta; Magnoliopsida; Poales; Poaceae. The record is from RNAcentral.
AGAAUCAGCUUAUAAUAAUAUAUAGAAAUCCAUUUCUAUUCCAAGCUUCAAAUAUAUAGCUCCACACUAAAGCAUCAUCAUGUACAUUGAGUCUAUGGCUGUAACAGCUAGCUAGUAAUAGUCACCGGCAAUUAGUACAGUAGCGAACAUAUAAGCACUGCUGCACGAGCUACAAGCGGUGGUGGGCGCAGGGGGCACUGCCGUCGUCGAAGUUCUGGUAGUAGCUAUGCAGGUCAUACCCGAACCUCACCGCGGUUCGCCUCGGCCGCGCUGCGCGUCUUCUCCAAGAGCGACUCAACCUCGACAGCAGCCGCUUCACCGCCGCAGCUGGCCGGCGGCCGCCGCUCCUGGCGUGGACGAGCCUCCCGCCCAAGCCGCUGCCCCCGGUGUACGGGCCUAGCAGAGACACCGCCGCCAUGAUCGUUCACUCAGUCGGUUCUCACAGGUCACGGACGCUCUUUGCCACUAACCAACUAGCUAGCUAGAUGCUCUGUCUGCUUCGAGCUGGAGUAGGUAGGUGAGGUCUAUCUGUGAAUCUGUGUGCUGCAGCUGUAGCUUCUGAAGAUACUGUGCAAAACGAAGCCUCCCAUGCGCAGCUUUAUAAGCUCGGAUGCUGGGAGCAUUCCGACACGCGUCGACCGAAGACGCCACUCGGACCCACCAGCAGCACGCACUCACGUACAUGGUGACGAGGCAAUCCACUACGGCGAUCGUUCGAAAGGUCCAAGCAGCUUCAUUUCAUGCAUGCUUUUGUAAGCCGCCGUCAUGCUCGUGCAGUCGAAAGAAUCAAAGAAAGACAACCGUCGACCACCAACAAUGGAAGCAUGUGUACUUGCUUUAGUGACGACGACCUCGAUCGCCAGCUAGAUUGCUAGCUAGAGGGAUGAGAGAGGUCGGCCAUGGCAACCGGCGACACGGCGGCACCUGAGCUGCUUCCUGCCCGUCCAUAGCCGAACUGCCGAUAAGGUCGGCGGCUUCCUGCCCGUCCUGCCGCUGGAUCAUGCCACGUGCACAAUGUGUUUGUGUUGCCUGUUGCGUGGCCGACCUAAUCGACAUGCAUGCGGCAGAGGUUGACGGGGAUGUUCGUUCUGCAGAACUCUCGGAACCCCGUCACAUCGAGACUAGGAACCUAGUAGAGUGUAUUGCUGACGCUGAAUCAUAAUAAUAACAACUGGUUAUAUUAAUAACCUAGAGUAUUAUUGGAAAGAGCACUCCAAGCCACUCACCAAAUUGGAUAAUUAAUAAUAACUGGUUAUUACUAUUUAUUUUUGGAUAACCUUAUCCUUGUACUGAAGAUGACUAAAGCUUAGGACGUGGAUAUUUCUUUUACAGCUGGAACAUGCAUGUAUGCUCUUCUGAUAUCUCCAAAAAAGAAGAGAAAAGAUGUCGUCGAGCUGAGUCAUCAUCAAUGAAUUUCCACAUCCUAAGGAAAGGGAAAUGGAAUACUAGUCCUAGUAGUGUUAUGCUAGAGUGAAAAUCUACAGAAAAGGCGGAGAGCCUUUUUUAGGGAAUAUUGCGAAGCUUCUAUUUUGGAAAUAUCACGAAAAUGUAUGGUCAGUAAAAUGGCGGUCGUGGAAUGGCAGUGUAUAUGAAGGGGGCUGAGGUAGUACAAAUCAUCCAAGUCAUCAUGGUAUCAGGAUGAGUCAUGAGUCACUUGACAUGUGUUUGGUUUCGGAACGACGUGGAUCCGGUCGAAGUCGACCCAUUUUUCUGGAUUGGGUCAGAUCCGUUCCUUAUUUGGUUUAAGUGACAGGUUAAACCUAUUAUCUUGUUUGAUUACAGGGUUAAACUGGGUUGGAGUUGUACCAUCUCUUGUUUGUUUCGCGAUGAGGGAUGAACUGAAUAUGGUCUCCUUCCUGGUCAUAUUACCACAUUCAGGAUGGUAUCUUCAAUUCAUUCAAUUCAAUAAGAUGACAACAAUCAAAAUAAAUGAAACCGACACUAUUUUAAUAUUUGAGAAAUCCAUAAGCAUAAGAUAUACAUAAAUUAAAGCCAAUAUUAACCAAGUCAUAAAUUUUUAGUGAUGAGGUCUCAUUGUUACAUUUCAGCCAUAAUUAAAGGAACCUCCCAACAACAUCAAGAUGCAUUUCAGUGAAUUUGUAACAUUUGCCAUGACUAGCAGGCUUGUCUAGGCAAUAACGAGCACAGACAUUUACCUGUUCGACGACAGCACUAGCAAGGCUCGCGGGUUGUGCCUACUGGAGAACACACCAGCAUCAGAGGGCAGGCCAGCGAGUGACUGUCGGUGGGAGGCGCAACAAGCCGGUGGGGGAGUCUGACGGCGCUGACGGAGGGCAGACCAGUGAGGGACUGACGACAGGAGGUAGGCGGGGGAUGAACGUCGGAUGGUAGGUCGGCGGGGGUCCCUCGUCCCAGCUUGCCGGCCGUGGCAACGUGCCCGUGUGCCAAUGUUUUAAAUGUCCGACUAAGGGCCUUAGCGGUGAGCUUUUUAUAAGUUAUAAAGGCUAUAGCCGUGAGCUAAACCAUUUAGCCGUUUAAAAAAAGCAUGAUAUAACUUUAUAGAUAGUUUAAAUGUUCAAUAUUUAAAUCUGAUAGUUCAAACUAGUAGUUCAAAUGUUCAAUAAUAAAUCAACAUACAUGCAAAUUCAAUGACACAUAUAAAAGGCAUUGAAUCAUUAUCUGAAGUGUCCCGAUCCUUUGGGACUCAAAUGUGAUACAAUUACUAGUCCCAGGAGGCUAGUAACCACAUUCAUUACUUCAAAUAGUUACAGAGUCUGAAUAAUGUUAUUACAAUACCGGGGGAUACAGGCUCGAAAGUGAGCCGAAAAACAUAAAGCGCAGUGGAAGAUAAAAUAGCCCAGGCCACAGGCAGAACUGGGCGAAGACACAGCCCCAUCAAUCAAGCAUAGCAGAAAAGAAGUCUUCAGCUGCUGAAAAACAUAAAUAAAUCUGGGUGAAUACACUAGGUAUUCCGCAAGCCCACCCGGCUCCCGUAAAGAGAAAGUGACCUAUAUGGUACAUGCUUAUUAUGGUGGAGUUGAAGUCACUCAUACUUUUUCAGAGAAAGGCAGUAUUCGUUGUUUAUGGUUUUCCCAAGACAAUAGGAGUAACACUUGCUUGACCACCACUGAGCUUCCCGCUCCUGUGGUACCACUUUCUUUUCAGACAUACACACACAUUUCCCUGUUCCAGGUUGUAGUAGAAACACUAAUUGUCAUACCAUUCUAGACUCGUCCAUACCAGUGGACACGGACUAUUCGAAUAGGUUUAGACUCUGCGCAGAGGGGUACACUUUACCCACUAGUCCGGCUCUGCGAUCUCAUGGCCAAUGAGACCCGAAUCCGAAACUCUUUCCUUCCUUGUACGUCCGAACCUUAACGGUUAUACCGGAAGGAGUCAGGCCACCGCCAUGUCCAAACCGGACAAAACAUUCCCCCUCCUUAUCCUCCCGGUGCUACCCGAGCCUUCAUAACCCUGGGGUUGGACCGUACGAGUUUAGAUCGAGUGGCUGCCCACACAGCCUCGAGUGGGUGUACUUUUUGUGAGUACAAGUAAUGAAAGAUGACAAACCGGUCCUUAUACGAGAGGACGAUCCUUCUGCUCACGCCUAAACCAGCUGAGCCAACACCUUAGGCCCUCCCCUAAACCAGGGAGUCCCUGAUCAUCCUACUCACCAGGUGAUGAGGGUGAGUACCCUUCAUCGCACACUUUUGGAAAACAUUCCACUUGUACCCUUUUCACUUGCCCCAUAUCUUUUAAUCAAAAUAAUAGUUAAUGCGGGCUCUCUCAUGCUCACCAUGCAAUUCGAUUCCCAUCCCAUAAUCCAGGCUUAGGCAGUGGUAGAGAGAAAUAGGUAAAUAAUGCAUCAAGGGAAGGAUGGACUUGCCUUCGUCGAAGCUUUCCUGCCACAAGAGGUUAAUCUCGGAGGGGUCGGGUUCUUGCCCUUCUUCCGGAGCUAAGAGUUCCGUAGGAUCGGAUCCCUCUUCCACUAAUUAAACACAUAUAAUAACAAUACAUCAAACAUAGUGACCUUUGAGGGGUGUGCAAAUUUUUAUACUUUAUUAUUUUUGUGCCCUAAUAAUUUAUUUAGACAAUUUUUGGUGCAUAAAAUAUUAGCAUCUAAAUAUAUAUGUGAAAAUGGGAAAAAGAAAAGGGAAAAGAAAAAGAGAAAGAAUUUUCGAGCCAACUGGGCCGGGGGGGGAUUUUGGCCCAAAAGGCGCCAGCGCGAGCGGGCGGGCGUGCUUUUGGCCCACUUGGCCCAGCCGCGCGGGGAGACGGCGGGGGAACGGCACUGCGGCGCGGGCCCGCACGCCAGAGAGGGGGGGGGGAGCGAACGACGUUAACGGCACGGAGGGGGGCGAGGGCUCGACCGGGGCCGGUCGGCGGCGAGCCCCGCGGCGGUUCUCCGCCGUCGGUCCGGUUUUGCGGUGGGGAAGCGGUGGCGGAGCAUGGGCGGUUGAUGGGGGUCACGGGGGUGGGGCGAAUUUCACCUGCGGGGGCCUAUGGCGGCCGGUCCGCGGCACGGUGGCGGGUGCCCGCGGCGGUGAUGCCGCCGGUGAGGUUUCCGGCCACAAUAGAGUGGGGGAAGUGGCGUGUCGUGACCGUGAGAGUGUGGCGGAGCUCUUGGCAUCACUUAAUUGAACGAAAGAUCGCUAGAGAGGGAGAGGGGAUCUCACCGGAGCGGUGAAGGGAGCACGACAGCGCUAGCUUGAACGGCUCGAGGAGGAGGGCAGUGGGGGUGGCCGGAGCUGUGUGGCGAAUACGGGGCUCAGGCGGGUCCUUUUAUAGGCGCUCGGGGGAGGGAGGGGGUUGGGGGAGACGACGAGCACCGGCGAGCUUGCCAUGAUGGUGGGAAUGGUGCUAACGCCGAUGCGAUGGCUCGGGCAGGCUGGGGGGUGAGGGGUCGGCUCAAGCACAGUGGUGGGGUUGUCGCGGAGGCUGGCGAGCAUUAAUGGCGAGGCGACGAGGCGAGGGGGCGCUCGGCGGCGGACGCGCCGGUGAGGGAUGGGCGAGGGGGAUGGAACUGACGAGUGGGCCCUGGCUGCCAGCGAGAGGAAGCUGCGCGAGAGGGAGGGGGUGAGGCGCUGACGGGCGGGGCCCGGGUGUCAGCGGGAGGGAGCCGCGCGCGGGUUGGGCCGCCUGGGCCGGGGAGAGAGGGGGAGGAAGUGCGGGCGCGCGCGGGUUGGGCUAGAAUUCGGCCUAGCCGUGGGAGGGGGAAGCUUUUCCUUUUCUUUUUCUUUUUCUAAUUCUAAUCCCUUUCUUCUCCUUUUUUCUAUUUUUGUUUCUUUUUAUUCUUUUUCUUUGGAGACCAAAAAUAUUUUCUAAGUGAUCUUGAGUGAGAAACAUAGUCUAUGUGAGGUGCUCUAAUUAUUUCAAGUGCACAUAAGAAGGGGUUCUAAGGGUAGGGUUAAGGGGGAAAGGUAAAAUAGGGGGGAGGAAUUAGGAGGUUAGGGUUUCAAACCUUGGGUGGGAUUUUGGGAUGUUACAAACCUACCCCACUUAAAGGAAUCUCGCCCUCGAGAUUUAGACUGGAUUUGAGAAAAGAUAAGGGUAUUCCCUCCUCAAGGAGUCCUCACUCUCCCAGGUAGCUUCCUCUUCUCCUUCUCUGCUCCACUGAACUUUACAGAGCUUUACUUCUGAGGUGCGGGUCUUUCUGACUGCUGAAUCAAGAAUCUUCACUGGUUUUUCACGGUACUGAAGGUCUUUCUGAAUCUGUACUGUCUCUUCUUCGAGGUGACUUUCUGGUGCUUGCAGGCAUUUGCGGAGCUGGGAUACGUGAAACACAUUGUGGAUGUCGGACAUGGAUUCUGGUAAUUCCAGACGGUAUGCUGCGUGUCCUACCCUGCCAAUGAUGGGAUAGGGACCUACGAAACGUGGGGCUAGCUUCCCUUUUACUUGGAACUUCCUGACACCACGCAUUGGAGAAACCUUGAGGUAGACGAAGUCUCCUUCCUCAAAUCGGAGUUCCCUCCGCCUGUUGUCUGCAUAACUCUUCUGUCGACUCUGAGCUUCGAGUAACCUUCUGCGGAUCAGUGCAACUUUCUCUUUCGCCUCUUUGACAAAGGCAGGUCCUUCUAGUGCUUUUCCCCCCACGUUGGACCACAUGAGAGGGGUUUGGCAUUUCCAUCCAUACAGUGCUUCGAAUGGCGACAUCUUGAUGCUGGCCUAAUAGCUAUUGUUGUAUGAGAACUCUGCGUAGGGUAGACUGGAUUCCCAACUUCUAUCAAAAGCUAGCACACAUGCUCUUAACAGAUCUUCAAGGACUUUGUUGACUCUUUCUGUCUGCCCAUCUGUCUGAGGGUGAUAAGCGGUACUGAAAUCUAGCUUGGUGCCCAUAGCUUUCUGAAGGCUUGUCCAGAAUUUGGAUGUGAACUGGGUUCCCCUGUCUCACACUAUCUUCCUUGGGAUGCCAUGGAGUCUGACUAUCUCCUUGAGAUAAAUCCGGGCAAGGGUGGCUCCUCCAAAGGUAGUUUUCACUGGGAUGAAAUGGACUACCUUGGUGAGGCGAUCUAUUAUUACCCAGAUGGAAUCAUUCCCUUUUUGCAUCCGAGGCAGUCCGGUUACGAAGUCCAUGCCUAUUUCUUCCCACUUCCAUUCAGGUAUUGGAAGGGGUUGUAAUAGGCCUGCAGGUUUUUGGUGUUCGGCCUUCGUCCGUUGGCAGAUGUCACAUCGGGCCACAUACUGAGCUAUUUCUUUCUUCAUCCCUUUCCACCAGUAUCUGGUUUUGAGGUCCAGGUACAUCUUGGUAGUUCCUGGGUGGAUGGAGUAGGCCGAGUCGUGAGCUUCCUUGAGUAGGACUUCUCGGGCCUCCCCUUUUGGUACACACAGACGGUGCUUGAACCAAAGGACUCCUUGGUCAUCUGCCCUGAGGUCCGGGAGUUGUUCCUUGUGGGAUUUCUCCACAAGUUUUGCUGUCUCUGAGUCUAGACGUUGAGCUUUGCAUAUGAGGUCUUCCAGCACUGGUUUGACUUCGAGACUAUCGUUGUUUCCCAAACAUGCAUUUAGUUGCGCUGAUUCUUUCUUCCAAUCUUCUAAAAAGUUGGUUCCUUUUAUUCCGAAUGGUUUUCGACUGAGGGCGUCGGCUACCACGUUGUCCUUCCCGGGGUGAUAGUGAAUUUCUAGGUCGUAAUCCUUGAUCAGCUCUAACCAUCUUCGCUGAUGGAGGUUGAGAUCUGGUUGAGUGAUUAUAUACUUCAGACUCUUGUGAUCGGUGAAAAUGUGGCAUUUGUUUCCGAUUAGGUAAUGCCUCCAUAUCUUCAAGGCAUGCACUAUGGCUGCCAAUUCCAAAUCAUGGGUGGGGUAAUUCUAUUCGUGCGGCUUGAGUAGGCGUGAUGUGUAAGCAAUGACUUUCUCGUUUUGCAUUAGCACACACCCUAAGCCUUGCCUCGAGGCAUCACAGAAGACGACAAAAUCUUGAUGAAUAUCUGGCAGUGAUAGAACGAGUGCUGUUGUGAGUUUCUCCUUUAUGACCUGGAAACGCCCUUCACAUUUUGGGGUCCACACAAAUUUAUGGUCUUUCUUGAGAAGUUCUGUCAUCGGUCUUGCUAUGCUGGAGAAUCCUUUGAUGAAGCCGCGGUAAUACCCUGCCAUUCCUAGGAAGCUUCGAACUUCACUGACGUUGGUUGGCUGCCUCCAUUUUGAUACUGCUUCCACCUUGGAAGGGUCCACUUCUAUCCCUUCUGCGGUUAAGAUAUGCCCAAGGAAGGCUAUCUUUUCCAACCAAAAUUCACAUUUACUGAGUUUAGCAUAAAGUUGGUGUGCUCUGAGUUUUCCGAGGACGAUCCAAAGGUGACGCUUAUGGUCUUCGUGGUUCUUGGAGUAGAUAAGGAUGUCGUCAAUGAAGACUACGACAAACUUAUCUAGCUCUUCCAUAAACACUUUAUUCAUGAGGUUCAUGAAAAAGGCGGGUGCGUUUGUCAGUCCGAACGGCAUCACUGUGAAUUCAUAUUGCCCGUACCGGGUGACAAAUGCAGUCUUUUGGAUGUCUGCUUCCUUGAUCCUCAAUUGGUGGUAACCAGACCUUAGGUCUAUCUUGGAGAAGUACUUGGCUCCUUGAAGCUGAUCGAAGAGGUCGUCAAUCCGAGGAAGUGGAUACUUGUUCUUGAUGGUAACUUCAUUUAACGAUCGGUAAUCAAUACACAUUCUCAUGCUUCCAUCUUUCUUAUAGACGAACAGGACUGGCGCUCCCCAAGGUGAUGAGCUGGGACGAAUGUAUCCCUUUUGCUGAAGAUCUGCGAUUUGAAGCUUCAGUUCUGCUAACUCGAUCGGAGCCAUGCGGUAUGGUCUCUUCGCGGUGGGUGCCGUUCCAGGGAUCAGAUCUAUGUAGAACUCCACUUCUCUUUCUGGUGGAAUUCCUGGCAAUUCUUCUGGAAACACGUCCAUGAAUUCUUCUACAACUGAUAUACUUUCCGUUGCUAGAUUGAACAUCAUUGGGUCACUGGCGGGUGGCUGUGCCUGACAAGAGACUAACUUUCCCUGCUGGUCGAUGAGGAGGACUGUCUUGUCUGCGCAACUGAUGAUGCCUUUGUGUUUAGUUAGCCAAUCCAUCCCUAGGAUCACAUCAAUUCCUUUGGAUGGCAAGACGGUUAAGUCUGCUAGGAAUACUACCCCACUUAAAAGGAUUCUGACUUGGGAGCAUUUGAGCUGGCAUAGAAGGUCGGACCCUGGGGUUUGGGUGACCAAGGGAAUCUCUAGAGGAGUAGAGGGAAUGCCAUACUUUUCCACAAAGCUAGUGGCUAUGAAGGAGUGGGAUGCUCCAGAAUCGAAAAGUAUGGUAGCGGGAGUAAAUUCAACAAGGAACUCACCGAGUACUACUCCCGGAGCCUGCUGAGCUUCCUCGGCAUCGACGUGAUUUACUCGUGCCCUUCCUUGGUACGGAGCCUUGUUCUGCUGGCUGACGGCGGAGGGCGCCUUGGGGGCGGAUGCCGAGGUAUUCUUGGGGCCAUUCACCGAGUUGGAGUAGGCGGGUCCUGGUGGCUUUAGCUGCGGACAAUUGUUCUUGAAGUGACUGGGAUCACCACAGUGCCAACAUGCAUUUGCCGGGGGUUGGUUGCUUGCCACUGAGGGGGAAUGGAAAGAGCUCUGACUUUGCUGGCUGAAUCGUGACGGAGUGGGUCCAGCUGGUCUACUGAAGUUUGGUCCCUUGGGUGGAAACCCAAAUGAUCGAGUCUUCUGGUGCCGGUCCUGCUGCUGUGCCCGGAGAACCUAGAACUUCCUUUUGAGAUGCCCCUUUUCUUCCUCCUUUGCCUUUCAACUUGCAUGGCCUUGUUGGAAAGGUGAGAGAAAUUGAGGAAGUCUUGGCUAGCCAGAAUUGUCUUGAGUUCUGGCCUGAGUCCCUUCAGGAAAUGGGCCAUCUUCUUGCCCUCGGUACUGACAUCAUCUGGCGUGUAGCGGGCUAACUCUGUGAACUUGUGUACAUAUUCGCUGACAGAUCUUCCGUCUUGAGUCAAUUCUCGGAACUCGUCCUCCUUAAGCUGUACAAGUCCUUAGGGCACAUGGUGCUCCUGGAAAGCCGCUUCAAAUUCCGCCCAGGUAGCAUCUCUGAUGGUGAUGUUGAAGGUGUCCCACCAGGCUAAGUCCAUCCCGGAAAGUUGGUGGGCAGCCAGCUGAACACGCUGAUUUUCUGGGCAACCAAUGGCUUCCAGUUUUCUUUUGAUCGUGCACAUCCAAUCGUCUGCAUCGAGGGGGUUGCUUGAUUCGGCAAACGUGGGAGGUUUGAGUCUCAGGAAAUCCCCCAUUCUGUCUUGUGGUCUUCCACCAUUCGGCCGUUGAUUUUCCAGAUUUCGAGUGAGGACCUCGAUGAGUCAGGUUUGAUUGGCUAGAACUUGGGCUAGGUCUAAGGGUAGUGGUGGAGGUGCGGGGAGGUGGGUUUCACUUUCCUCUCUAACGGCUUCCCCUUCAGCUCUCAGGGGAAACCCUGCUCCAAUCCCGGAGGCGGUAGGCGUGGUUUUAUCCGAAGCCAUCUGCCAGGGAAGAGAGUCACUAUUAUGCACAUGCAAAUUGUUUUCAACCAAGUUAUGUUAUUCAUUACACCAUCACAUUACAAGCAUAAGACUACUACAGGUGGGACUACACGAGAGCGUUCCCCGAGGUACUAACGAACUCCUUCUCUAAGGUGUCCCCAAAUGCCUUGAGAAGAUCAUCAAGGCUUGCUAGGGAUAUAUCCUCGUCGUCGGACCAAUCAUCUAUUCUAGGGGGGAGGUAGGGCUAGAGGGGCCUUCUUCUUCUUCUCUGUUUGGCAUCCUUGGUUGGUGGUCUUCUUCUGGAUUUUCUUUUUGGGGGCGAGCUUCUUUAGCUUCUUGUCAUAGUCCAUCUUCAAGGUUCGAUAGGCCUCACGGGUGUUGGCUUCCUCGCCUUCUGCUAUGUCGAGACUCUCCUGGAGAGAUGCCUUCUCUUGCUUAAGCUCUUUGACUUGCUGCUCUAGGCUUUCCACUCGAGAGUUUAGGUGGGUGCAGUGGGAGGAGAGCUCAUCGUAGUGGUUGUCGAGGGUGUGGAGGUAUCCGGCCAUGUAGACGAUAGUGGGGUCAUCUUCUGUGGGAUCUCCUUCUGACAGAGCCUGGAGUCUUUUCCUCCAGGUGGGGGUGUUUUUGUUGCUAGGUGGGAAAUAUCGGAGGGGGGUCUCAGAGAUCUCUCGGCUAUAGUUUUGGCACAGUUGUUUGAGGGCUUUUCGAGCAACGCUCUAGCAAGUGUCUGGGAAGCGGUGCCCGAUGAAGGUAAUUUGGAAGGGAGGGUGGUUUGGGUAGUUCCGGCUUUCUCCCAAGUAGACCGCCAUAGAGCACUUUUCUAUUCCAUUUUCACGGUACUCCUUCCAGACAUAUUCGGGCUUCUUGCGGAUCCCCAUGCGUAGCGCGCAACUCCGAAGAAGGUGAGGAAAGCCUUCCUCCUCUGAGCAAUAGGAUGUCCUAAUCACCCAGGGGUUUUCCAUCUGGUAGACGAAAAGAGAGGUCUAUUAAUAUCGGGGAAAAGGGGAAAGAGUGUUUCUUGGGGGGUAAGAGGUGUUUUCUUGUUAAGGCAACUUUUAAGGUCAGGGUUGUGGUCUACGGCCAGUCCUAUAGGUUCUGAUACCACCUGAAGCGUCCCGAUCCUUUGGGACUCAAAUGUGAUAUAAUUACUAGUCCCAGGAGGCUAGUAACCACAUUCAUUACUUCAAAUAGUUACAGAGUCUGAAUAAUGUUAUUACAAUACCGGGGGAUACAAGCUCGAAAGUGAGCCGAAAAACAUAAAGCGCAGUGGAAGAUAAAAUAGCCCAGGCCACAGGCAGAACUGGGUGAAGACACAACCCCAUCAAUCAAGCAUAGCAGAAAAGAAGUCUUCAGCUGCUGAAAAACAUAAAUAAAUCUGGGUGAAUACACUAGGUAUUCCGCAAGCCCACCCGGCUCCCGUAAAGAGAAAGUGACCUAUAUGGUACAUGCUUAUUAUGGUGGAGUUGAAGUCACUCAUACUUUUUCAGAGAAAGGCAGUAUUCGUUGUUUAUGGUUUUCCCAAGACAAUAGGAGUAACACUUGCUUGACCACCACUGAGCUUCCCGCUCCCGUGGUACCACUUUCUUUUCAGACAUACACACACAUUUCCCUGUUCCCGGUUGUAGUAGAAACACUAAUUGUCAUACCAUUCCAGACUCGUUCAUACCAGUGGACACGGACUAUUCGAAUAGGUUUAUACUCUGCGCAGAGGGGUACACUUUACCCACUAGUCCGGCUCUGCGAUCUCAUGGCCAAUGAGACCCGAAUCCGAAACUCUUUCCUUCCUUGUACGUCCAAACCUUAACGGUUAUACCGGAAGGAGUCAGGCCACUGCCAUGUCCAAACCGGACAAAACAUUCCCCCUCCUUAUCCUCCCGGUGCUACCCCAGCCUUCAUAACCCUGGGGUUGGACCGUACGAGUUUAGAUCGAGUGGCUGCUCACACAGCCUCGAGUGGUUGUACUUUUUGUGAGUACAGGUAAUGAAAGAUGACAAACCGGUCCUUAUACGAGAGGACGAUCCUUCUGCUCAUGCCUAAACCAGCUGAGCCAACACCUUAGGCCCUCCCCUAAACCAGGGAGUCCCUGAUCAUCCUACUCACCAGGUGAUGAGGGUGAGUACCCUUCAUCGCACACUUUUGGAAAACAUUCCACUUGUACCCUUUUCACUUGCCCCAUAUCUUUUAAUCAAAGUAAUAGUUAAUGCGGGCUCUCUCAUGCUCACCAUGCAAUUCGAUUCCCAUCCCAUAAUCCAGGCUUAGGCAGUGGUAGAGAGAAAUAGGUAAAUAAUGCAUCAAGGGAAGGAUGAACUUGCCUUCGUCGAAGCUUUCCUGGCAUAAGAGGUUAAUCUCGGACGGGUCGGGUUCUUGCCCUUCUUCUGGAGCUAAGAGUUCCGGAGGAUCGGAUCCCUCUUCCGCUAAUUAAACAUAGAUAAUAACAAUACAUCAAACAUAGUGACCUUUGUGGGGUGUGCAAAUUUUUAUACUUUAUUUUUUUUGUGCCCUAAUAAUUUAUUUAGACAAUUUUUGGUGCAUAAAAUAUUAGCAUCUAAAUAUAUAUGUGAAAAUGGGAAAAGAAAAAGAGAAAGAAUUUUCCAGCCAACUGGGCCGGGGGGGAUUUUGGCCCAAAAGGCGCCAGCGCGAGCGGGCGGGCGUGCUUUCGGCCCACUUGGCCCAGCCGCGCGGGGCGACGGCGGGGGAACGGCGCUGCGGUGCGGGCCCGCACGCCAGAGAGAGGGGGGAGGGAACGGCGUUAACGGCACGGAGGGGGGUGAGGGCUCGACCAGGGCCGGUCGGCGGCGAGCCCCGCGGCGGUUCUCCGCCGUCGGUCCAGUUUUGCGGUGGGGAAGCGGUGGCGGAGCAUGGGCGGUUGAUAGGGGUCACGGGGGUGGGGCGAAUUUCGCCUGCGGGGGCCUAUGGCGGCCGGUCCGCGGCACGGUGGCGGGUGCCCGCGGCGGUGAUGCCGCCGGUGAGGUUUCCGGCCACAAUAGAGUGGGGGAAGUGGCGUGUCGUGACCGUGAGAGUAUGGCGGAGCUCUUGGCAUAACUUAAUUGAACGGAAGAUCGCUAGAGAGGGAGAGGGGAGCUCAUCGGAGCGGUGAAGGGAGCACGGCGGCGCUAGCUUGAACGGCUCGGGGAGGAGGGCAGUGGGGGUGGCCGGAGCUGUGUGGCGAAUACGGGGCUCGGGCGGGUCCUUUUAUAGGCGCUCGGGGGAGGGAGGGGGAUGGGGGAGACGGCGAGCACCGGCGAGCUCGCCAUGAUGGCGGGAAUGGUGCUAACGCCGAUGCGAUGGCUCGGGCAGGCUGGGGGGUGAGGGGUCGGCUCAAGCACAGUGGCGGGGUUGUCGCGGAGGCUGGCGAGCAUUAAUGGCGAGGCGACGAGGCGAGGGGGCGCUCGGCGGCGGACGCGCCGGUGAGGGAUGGGCGAGGGGGAUGGAACUGACGAGUGGGCCCUGGCUGCCAGCGAGAGGAAGCUGCGCGAGAGGGAGGGGGUGAGGCGCUGAUGGGCGGGGCCCGGGUGUCAGCGGGAGGGAGCCGCGCGCGGGUUGGGCCGCCUGGGCCGGGGAGAGAGGGGGAGGAAGUGUGGGCGCGUGCGGGUUGGGCUGGAAUUCGGCCUAGCCGUGGGAGGGGGGGAAGCUUUUCUUUUUCUUUUUCUAAUUCUAAUCCCUUUCUUCUCCUUUUUCUAUUUUUGUUUCUUUUUGAUUCUUUUUCUUUGGAGACCAAAAAUAUUUUCUAAGUGAUCUUGAGUGAGAAACAUAGUCUAUGUGAGGUGCUCUAAUUAUUUCAAGUGUAUGCACAUGAGAAGGGGUUCUAAGGGUAGGGUUAAGGGGGAAAGGUAAAAUAAGGGGGGGGGGAAUUAGGAGGUUAGGGUUUCAAACCUUGGGUGGGAUUUUGGGAUGUUACAUUAUCUAACAAACUCAUAAACAAUAAGUUAAAGGGCCUACCCAUAACUUGUUUUUGGGUCUCAAUGCUUCAAAGGUUCGACCAGUAAAAGGAGUGCAGGUUUAGCAACUAAAUCGAGCUAAUUUUGUGUAUUUAGCGGGCUAAAUAUGACUAUUAGCGGCUAAUUUUGAUCAGCGCUAAAUAAUGCAUCUCUUAGCUCCAGAUCUCCUGAAAGGCUAUAACCGGCUAAAUAGCUGCUAUUAGCUGGCUUUUGAAAACCUUGCUCUGUGCUGGUCUCGAGUGGAUAAAGCAUGGGUGACAGAAGGCUGGAGAGCAAGUGGGUCGAAAUAGUUCGCUUGUUUUUGAGGAAUCCGUAGAACCCACAUUUUCAAGAAGUAUUUCGAUCCAGAACCAACAUAAUCCACGAGACUUUUGAACCAAACAUGGAUUGUUGUGGGUUAAAUCCUUUCCAACCCGCAUCAUCACGCUAACCAAACACACGUGUGAGGUUUCGCCUUACCCGAUGAGUGAGGUUUCGCCUUACUCGAUGCCAGUUUGCCUUUACUUUUUGUCUUGAUAUCAGUAGCUCCAUUUAACUUUCAAGCGUCUAAAAAAACUCUCUUCCGCAUCUACAACUUUUCAGUUAAUGACUUCUUUAUUCAAGAUCAUCUAUAAUAUUAAAUAUACAAUACAAUAUUUAAAAAAAUUGUAGUUGAAAAAUAGUAUCGGUUGUAUAGUGACAACUAUUAUAUAGCUUAACCGGUAUAGAAGCUCGAUGGAACCUUAAGAUAUUGAGUUCAAAUCCAGUAAUCUAGCAGUGUUAUAAUUGAUAGUGAUAAAUUUUUUGAUAAAAAUAACUCUUUAAAUGAUGAUUUAGAGAAUAUCUUUAACAUAGACUCUAGAAAAUUUCAUAAAGAUGCCGAUCAAGUAAUCCUGGCUAACUAUAUGAAGCUUUUUGAGAAAUUAUGUAGGCUUAUAAGGUCACACACAAUAAACUUCUACUUUCUAGUACUUGCAUACUUAAUUAGUUUGUUCUAUAUCAAAUUAUCCUAAAUUUUACCAAAUUUAUAUACACGAGUAUUUGCAUUACAGAAAUAUAUUUCACAAUUCCAUUCAAUAUACUUAUUUUCUAUUAGGAUUGGUGCCUCAUUUAGUGGAGGACGGAUUAUCUAUCUUGCAAUAUCCAGAUGAUAUUAUCCUGUUUUUGGAGCAUGACUUGGAGAAAGCCAAGAAUAUGAAAUUACUUCUCCUGUCUUUUGAGCAAGUCUCAGGGUUAAAAAUUAACUAUCACAAAAGCGAGAUUUUUUGCUUUGGUCAGGCCUCCGAUGUUAAGGAUCAAUAUCAAUUGUUGUUUGCAUGCAGAAAUGGGGACUAUCUGUUUAAAUAUUUACGGAUACCAAUGUAUUAUCGGAAGUUAAACAAUAGUGAUUGGAAAAUAGUAGAGGCAAAAUUCGAAAAGAAGCUCAGCAGAUGGAAAGGGAAGCUUAUGUCUGUUGGAGGCAGAUUAGUCCUAAUAAAUUCAGUGCUUACCAGUUUAGUUAUGUUUAUGAUAUCUUUCUUCGAGAUACCCAGAGGGGUUCUCGAGAGAAUAGACUGCUUUCGGUCUAGGUUCUUUUGGCAAGGAGGGAAUCAUAAGAAGAAGUACAGACUUGCCAAAUGGAACAUCCUAUGCCAACCUAAGGAUCAAGGAGGGUUAGGAAUUCAGAACAUAGAAGUUCAAAAUAAAUGCUUGCUAAGCAAAUGGCUUUUUAAGCUUAUUAAUGAGGAUGGGAUGUGGCAACAAUUGGUGCGUAACAAAUAUCUUAAGAGAUAUCCGUUGUGGAAUGUGAAACUUAAACAUGGUGAUUCACAUUUUUGGUCGGGGUUAAUGAAAGUAAAUGAUACCUUCCUUAACCUAGGAAAUUUCAUUAUUAAAAAUGGGGAACAAAUAAGGUUCUGGCAGGACAUUUGGAUGGGUACUCAAUCCUUUAUGAUUUGUUACCCGUCUCUUUAUCAUAUUGUAAGACAUAAAAGUGCCACGGUUGCUACAGUUUUGGCUACAGUACCUUUAAAUGUAUCAUUCCGUAGGGUGCUUGUCGGUCAAAACCUCACUUUGUGGUAUAAUUUAGUGGCAAGUAUAUUACAUGUUCAGUUGAGUGUCGAUAGGGAUAUUUUUAAAUGGAGUUUAACUAAUUCUGGGCAGUUUACAGUUCAAUCUAUGUAUAUGAGUCUUAUUAAUAAUGGGAAUGUUUUUAACCAUAAGGAAAUAUGGAAACUUAAACUGCCACUUAAGAUUAAAAUCUUUAUGUGGUACUUAUUAAAAGGAGUAGUGCUGACGAAAGAUAAUUUAGCAAAAUGCAACUGGCAAGGUAGCAGUAAGUGUGGCUUCUGUAAUUUGGAUGAAACCAAUCAGCAUUUAUUUAUUGACUGUCAUGUUGCUCACUUUAUGUAGCGGUUGAUAUCAAUCUGUUUUGGUUUACCAGGACCUAGAUCUGUUAAACAUUUCUUUGGGAACUGGUUGAUGGGGGUGGAUUUAAAUACUAAGAAUCUCAUUAUUACAGGUGUCUCAGCAUUGUGUUGGGCUAUCUGGAUAAGUAGAAAUGACUUAGUAUUUAAUAGAGCACAAAUGUUUACUUAUUUGCAGGUUCUAUUCAGAGGAACUCAUUGGCUCAGACUUUGGACGCAGCUGCAAAGAAGUGACGAUUCAGCGAAUCUGUUAAGAAGAGCUUGUCGACAUCUGGAGACGAUGGCCAUGCACUUUUUUGCUUAUCGGGGUUGGAGGUUUUCUAAUAGGAUUACAUUGUAUUGAUCGUUUUCCUUUUUAAGUGAGUGUUGAAUCGGUGAGGAGUAAGGGAGAGUUUAAGUCUUUUAGGCUAAAUGUUUUUGCCUUAUUAUGCGAGUACUUGGAGUUGUUAUUUGGUGUCUGACUUUGGCCCUACCCUCGAAAGAGGCGAAAGCCGGAUUUUGUUCCAUUAUCUAAAAAAAUACUUAUUUUCUAUAAACUUGGUGAAUCUUAUAAUAGUUUAACUUAGAGCAACUUUAAAUGUGAAUCUUAUAAUAGUUUAACUUAGAGCAACUUUAAAUGCAUUACGUAAUACUUAUUGGAAUUUGGCCUCUUUAGCCCACUUAUGGGUGGUCCAAUUCAUAUAAGAAAUCCAAGGUGCUGUGUAGGGAUAGCAUCAGGGACUUUAGUCGUACAUUACUUAUCCAGGUAAGAGAUAACCAAUUUAAACGUGAGGGUGUGCACUACUCUUCACAUGUGACACACAAAGGGCUGUGGAGACUGGUAUGAACUGACACACGCGCUCACUCGCAUUUCAGGUUUUUCACGAAAUUAACGCGUGGCUUGUGACUUGCGAUGAUGAAUGAUCGCGUCGUGACAUGUUCUAAAUAGCAGUUUAUUUUUUGUCUUUUAUUUAUUUGGUUAUCAAGUACCACACCUAGCUAGACUGCCAUGUCAAUCGAGAGUAAUUAGGCGCGCACUGCGUGAACUCCGUGCGGUUGUACUUAGAGAGAUUUGAGAGGACGGUUACUGGAAUUUAGUAGAUCGAAUCUGGAACAAUUGCGGCGACUCUUCUAUAAAGGGGAGAUGUCCUUUAGACGAAAGGCAUACAACAAUCAACCUACUCGUCUUCUCAUUCUGAACUUUAUGUGUUACCGCUUCUCUACUCUAUCGUCCCUGCGUCUGCCAUGCAACAAAUCAAGGAAGACCAGUGUAUUCGAACCAACACAGAUAUUUUGACGACCUGCACGGGCGUUGAGAAAUUAGGUUUCUGGGAAGUGCACCACGCACGUAUGUUCAUGUUCUUCAAAUCCAGUUGUGGGAAGCACUAUAAGUAGAUAUGCAAUUUCUGUUUAUCAUGACACAGAUCUUUUGCAUAGAUCUAUUGUUCAUUUGUCUUCUGUUCAUUAAUUGUUUGGUUUGGUGAAUCUGAUGCUUUUCAAGAGUACAUUACUAAAGCACAUAAUCCUAAAUUUGUGAAGUCUUCUAGGCAAACCACAACUUGAGAUCUAAUUAAGCUUUACAAUGAACGUGUGCUUAAGCUUAUUGAGUCAUUUCAAUCUGUUUCAUCUGUUGCUCUAACUUCUGAUAUCUGGAAUGUUAAAGCUAAAGAAGACUACAUUUAUGUUGUUGCUCACUUUUUGAAUUCCAAUUGGGAGCUAGAAAAAAGAUUGAUUGGUCUUAGGGUCAUAUAUGUGAAACAUUCUGGUAAUAAUUUAGCAGAACAUGUUAACAUGGUUGCUGAUGAGUGUGGUUUAAGUGAUAAAAUAUUUGCUAUUACUCUAGAAUCUACUUUUAGUUUGGUUGGCAGGGUUAUUGAGGAACAUCGUCGACGGCUCAUACCGGACAUGGUGGAGGUUCUAUCAUGUAUCAAAGACCGGGAGUUAGCAGAUUUACACAAGCAACACAAUCUUGAGAAUGACACAUAGAAAUAGAAUUGUCCUUGAAAGAUUGAACAAUGAUGGAGGAGGAGACGAAGAAAGCCAAUCAAGGACUCAAGAGUUAAGGGUGAACGAGUGAAUUAUUGUAACUUGUAAUAUUGUCCUCUGUCUCUAUCUCUGGUGAAUUGUUGUAUUGAACUCUGAACACAGUUGCAUACGUUAUAACUUUGAGCUGGUUGUACCUUUUUCCCUUUUUAGGGUUUUCUCACAAGGUGUGAGUUUUUAUCUAGGAAGGUUUCUAAUAAGGCGACAUUGCAUAAACAACUCAAAUAAUAUUUUGUCAUUCAAUUCUUGUGUGGCCUUUAGUGUUUUUUGUGAAUUCUGUUAUAUACCAAUAUAUAUGUGAUUUUCGGGCCAGACCCGCCCCUGUACUAAUGAGCUAUCCAAGCCAACGGUACGGCAUGACCUACCUGAGUAGCAAGCGAGUCGUGCCUAGACCGAAGGGUCAACACGCUAGGUAAGCCCGGCACGAUCCAGAUGUUACCCGUGCCGUGCCUGGCACGCCCCGAAUGGGCCGGGCCGGAGCGGACCAUUUGGAUAUCUAUAAGUCCAAGCAGCUCCAUACAUGUUUGCAGGUGCAGCAGUCCGAAUAGCUACAAUAUUGCUGGCUGCUAGUCAGCCGAACAAUAUAGAAAUAUGAUUUAUAAUGACGGUUUUUAAAAAAAAAACUACCAAUAGAAAUAACACUAACGUAUGAUAACUGAAACCGUACUACAAAUUAAACUUCACCAUAGACUUUCAGUUAUUUUUCUACAAGUGAGGGUUCCGGUACAAUGAGUCAACGAGCUACAAGCGGUGGUGGGCGCGGGAGGCAGUGCCGUCGUCGAAGUUCUGGUAGUAGCUAUGCAGGUCAUACCCGAACCUCACCACGGUUCGCCUCGGCCGCGCCGUGCGUCUUCUCCAAGAGCGCCUCAACCUCGACAGCAGCAGCUUCACCGCCGCAGCUGACCGGCGAUCGCCGCUCCUAGCGUGGACGACCCUCCCGCCCAAGCCGCUGCCCCCGAUCUAUGGGCCUUGCAGAGACGCCGCCAUGAUCGUUCACUCGGUUCUCACAAGUCACACACUCUUACGUUGCGACUAACUAGCUAGCGCUAGCUAGGUGCUCUAUCUGCUCCGAGCUGGCGUCGUAGGUAUCUGCUGUGUGCUGCAGUGUAGCUUCUGAAGAUCUUGUGCAAGCAAAACGAUACUCCAUGCCCGCAGCUUUAUAAGCUCGGAUGCUGGGAGCAUUCCGACACGUGUCGAUCCAACCGCCACUAGUACACAGAAGCUCUAUAGUGGCGGUUCUAAACCUAUUUACACUGGCGUUUUUCAGUACCGCCAGUGCUAGGGGCCAGUGGAAAUCAGCAUUUCCACUGGCGGUUAUUUUGGAACCGCCAGUGAUAAUAGAAUUUCCACUGGCGGUUUUCUUAAGGAAACCGCCAGUGAUAAUAGAAUUUCCACUGGCGGUUUGCUUUAUAAAACCGCCAGUGGAAAUGCACUUUUCACUGGCGGUUUUCUUUAUUUAGCCGUCAGUGGAAGUUUUCCCGCCUUUUUUCAAAAUUUCAAACAAUACUGAAUUAUAUAUAUAUAUUUAUUUACACACACACAAACAUAUAUAUAUAUAUAGAUCUAUAUUGAUAUUGAAAGCAACAUGAAAUUAAAUUCUAUCAUACAUUUAUAUACAUCAAAGUAUUCUUUUUACAACCAUAUAUGCUUCAUGCAUUCUACACAUCAUAAGUUUUCACCUAAGCUCUAAUAACUAUCUCGGCUAAGAGAUAAUCUACUAAUUUCUGUUAGUAUUCUAAACUCUGGCAAAGCUAAUGUUCCGGAAGCAUCGUGAUAUUUUCCUUCUGCGGGAAUGACCUCUUUCAAUAUGAAUGUGCAGAGGUCCUCGACUAUGCCAUACAAUGCAGCUUCGGUCAAGUUCUCCGGGUUUCCUCGUUGAAAUUGCUGUAAAGGAAUUUUAUAAACAUCAUCUAUUUAUACUCAAUAAUAACACAUUUGCAUCUUUAAUGACAUAAAUACAUACUUGACUAUUACUAAUAAUACCUUGUCAGGGUUCGUGAUGUAUCGUCCGUUCACUCUCAUGAACUCGCACGCAUAGAAUUCACAUAGGACCGAUCCUUGUGGUUGCUUGUGGCACUACAUAACGGGAGAUUGGUUAUUUAGUUGCAACAUUGUGUAUGAUAUGUAUUCGUAAAAUCACAUACUUACCGGCCAGUGAUGAUGGAUGUCUAGUGGCACGCGUUGUUUCGACAGGUCGUACUUUCCACCUCUCAUCUUAUAGAAUCUAUAAGCCCUGUGAUCUCAAAUAGAAUCACCAUGUUAUUCUCAAAUUUUAAUCGAUAAAAGUAUGCAUGCAUAGAAAAGGCUUACAGCUCUAAGAUGCUGAGGAAUUCUGCAUAUGUCGAAGGGUCGAAGUUCAAGGAGUCGAGCACCAGCACCUUUCCAACCUUAGGAUAAAUGAGGAAGCAUAUCCAGUGGUCCCUGUACGAAUCAAAUUUGUGAUGCAUGUGUAUUGAAAUUAUUAAUUUUAUUUAUGCAAAAUCACAGUUACUUAAAGUUGUACGGGGCCAUUAUGGCUUCCCUGUCUUGAAAUUGAAGCAUUGCAUGUCCUAUGUAGGUGGCGUAUCGAGCUUCAAAAUCCUUCUUCAUGUCCUUUAUACGCUUCUCAACUUCUUCGUCCGUCUUUCCCCGUAUUUCAUCGUUGUCUUUCCCGAUUCUAAAAGUGUGUCUUUCCUCGGAUAUAAGUAUUGGGUUGAGAUACCCAACCCUUUUACUGGCACUAGCAUUGGGCUUGGUACCGUAAAGGAUCUCCUGCUGAUCAUGUUGCAUUCUGCAAGUCACACGUGCAUGUCAGAUAUUGAAAUUUUAUACAGCUCACUAAUAAUAACACACAUAUGUGGAAGUAUGAGCGACACUUACAAUGCAAACAUCGUUACAAGUUGCACGUCGAGUCUCUGAAGGUUCAUCAUUAACCACAUGUCCUCGAAUGUAACAACGGCCUUUUGGUCCGAACCAAUAAAAGCAUGGUCUGGUAUAUGCACACUGAUGGUGUCGAUGCCAACCGAUGAUGCCCGCAUGUACCAGUCAUGCAACCUUUUAACACCAGCCGGGACCUUUCUUAGUUUCUCAAGAGGUAGCAGAGGUCUGCCCGGCACAUAUUUUUUAGGCACGUUUUUGUAAUCUGCCUUAGUUGGCUUCUUUAUCUUUGCGGCCAUUGCCUCAGCCUUUUUUGCAGACUCCUCGUGCUCGGCCAAAUCAACAGUUUGUGACGUGAGGCUCCGUCCAAUCCCUUUCAAAAAUCGAGCUGUGCCAGCAGUACUAGCUUUACUCUUCUUUUUCUGAUACGGGGACACCAAUUUUGGUAUAGGAAGUUUAGAUUUCUUUGAUGGCCGUGGAUCCUUUGAUGGCUGUGGAGAAGGUGGAUCCCUUGAUGGUGGCGUAGACAGUGGGUCACCAAGAGGAUGGGGAGGAGAAGGUGGUGGAGCCCUGAAUGGUGAUGCUUGUGGCAGAGACAGUGGGUCAGAAAAAGGAUGAGGAGCAGCAUGUGAAGUUUGAGGAGGUGAUGAUGGAUGUACAAUAGGAACAUCAAUUUGAGAAGGAGGAGACGGUUGGGCCUGUGACGAAUUCGACCAAUCAAGCAAUUCGACAUCCCUUCGAGGCCAAAGGAUAAAAUUCUUGAUAGCUUGUCCAAGUUUCUCGAUACCUUCGGGCCCAGGGAUGUCUAGCAUGUCGUCCUCGGAUCCUUGGACGACCGUCGUCACUUCUACUUUGCAAUAAUCAUCUGGAAUAUCGUUUCCAUGGAACUUGCGUCCUGGGAUCGCAAGGCCUGUGGCUACUUUCUUUGUACGUUUAUUGUUAAUACCAUAUCUUAUAACCAGUGUGCACGCCACAGGCCUUGUGAUGUCAUCAACUGGAUAACUGACCUUAUUUCCCGUUGAAGCAACAGAGCUUGGGAAUGUCGUACAAUCGGUGGAAGCCGGCGGUUGAGCUGCUGGAAUUAUUUGUAUCUGUGGAGUGGUCAUCUGUUGAACAGACAUCGCACUCGCCAACUGUUGCAUCAAUUCUGGAGGAGGAUUCGAUAGCAUUUGAGACAUCAUGGCUUUGAACUCUUUCUUGGCCUCCUCCUUAAAAUAAUCCGCCAUCUCUUCCUUGUAUCGAUCACGUUUCUUGUACAGACCUUCCCACUGUGGUCUGAAUCCUUCCUUCCAUCCUUCCUUAGACGAGAUUCCUCGUACACGACCAGGAUGCUCAGGGUUACCGAGACCAGCCGUUAGGAUGUCUCUUUCCCUUUGUGGCUUAAAAGUUCCUUGGCUCUGCUUAGCUGCCAUUGUAUAUAUGUUUUUUGCCGCUUCUUCGACAAUGGGAUCAUCAAAAGAUACACCGGUCUCGGUUUCCCUUGGUUUUCUAGCACGGAGCCAAUUUGCCGCCCUUUCACCAAGUUGCUCGGACAACGUCGGCAACCCUACGGCCUUCUUCUCGGCGUCUUCUUGUGUCCAUUUAGGAACCUGACGCUUGUAACCACCUGUGCCUAGGUGGUGGCGGUACUUGUUCUUCUUUGAUAGUUCCGAAUUUGCCUCACUUAGAGAUAUGAAAUCAGGGCUGCUCCUCUGCUCUAGAAAUACUGCCCACUGACCUGCUGAGAUUUUAUAUUUUUUGGUCGGUUCCAGACCUUUCUUUGCAAACUUUGUGUUCAUCUCAGACCUCCAGUUUCGGAAAUUGAUUGCAAGCUGCUUCAUCGUGUAUUCCUUCACGAGUUCUUCUGAACCCCGAGGCAGAACGAACCUCAUUAAUAGCUUAUUCCAUAUUUGAUUCUUGACAUCAUCUGACACAUCUCUCCACUGUCGUAUUGUUAUGUCAAGAUUAUCUCUAACUAAAAACCCAAGUGCAUUCCGGAACUUAGGUAGUGCCUCUUCUGGAGCUAGGGGCUGACCUUUCGGGCUCACGUCUGAGAUUUUGUAUGUUUUGUCGGGAAACUUGUUCAGCCCCCUGUCACCUCUUUUUUGAUCGCUCUGCUUCCUUUUCCUUGACGUCUCGGUUGUUGUCUUGGUCUGUUCCGGUGCGUCUUGGGUCGGCUCCGGUACGUCUUCAUAUCGUGCCACGGCUUCUUCGAGUAUCGCACGAAAUUCAGACACGACCUUCUAUUCAUGUAAUAAAAUGCACAAGAGAUCAUGCAUGUGAAAUCAGUAGGGUACACAUACGAAGCUAAAGAUGCGUACUUUUACCUCAGCUUCUCGUGGAUCAUAAGUAGGGUCACGUUGCAACUCACGGAGAGCGGCCCUAUCUAUGCUAGUGGUAGGAAAAGGGUCGCUAGGCGUUUCAUAUCCUUCACUGCUGGAUUGUUCUUGAGCAACACUCUUGUCCAUGUGGUCGGGCACUAAUCCUUGGUCCUUGAUCGGAGAACUCUUGAUCAUGGAUGCCUCGGGACAAGCACGGGUUGAUACAUAGCCAUUCAGUAUUGACAUGAAAAGCUCAUACGUCCACAUUUCAUGCAAGUACAUAGGACCCAAUGCCUCUAUUUGUGGCACCAAGUGCACCACAAGGUGCACCAUAAUAUCAAAGAACGAUGGAGGGAAACACAUCUCAAACUGUGAUAUUGUCUCCACUGCGAAUUCCUGAAGAGAUGCCAACUCAUCACGGCCAAUUACCUUUUGUGAAAUCCUGUUGAAAAAGUAGCACAACCGUGUGAUUGCCAUCUUUAAAAACAAAGGAUUUAUAGCCCUGAUGGCAAUAGGUAGGAAUGUAGUCAGCAUGACAUGGCAAUCAUGUGAGUUGUAGUUGGUGAUUGUCAGGUCUUUCAUUGACACAAUACUCCGUAUGCUAGAGCAGAAUCCAGAUGGGACUUUCAAAUUCUUGAGCCAAACACACAUCGCAUGUUUCUCAUCUACAUUGAGAUUGUAGCUUGCUGCUGGGAGAUGGUACUUCCCAUUUUCUUGAAGAACGGGAUGUAGUUCCUUUUUUAUGCCUAAAUCUACCAAGUCCAUGCGUGAAUUGAGCCCUUCUUUUGUUUUGCCCUUUAUGUCUAGCAAGGUGCCCAUUAUGCUUUCAAACACGUUCUUCUGAACGUGCAUACCAUCGAUCGCAUGCCGCACAUCUAACUCUUUCCAGUAAGGCAAGUACUCGAAGAAAAUAGACUUCUUCUUGAAUAUAGCCCCCGGAGCUGGUUUGGCAUCCUUCCUUGUUUUUCCGUCUUUUGUCUUCUUCCCGAAAACAAACUUGAUAUUCCUGACUAUUUCAAAAACUCUAUGACCUCUAUUGUUACCCGAUGGAGCAGUAGAAUGUAGUUCACCAUUAUUGUCGAAGUACUUAUCCAUCUUUCGCAUGCGGUACCUGUGUCCUUCCAAUAAAAAGCGUCUGUGCCUCAUGUAAACUAUCUUCUUAGAUGCAGCAAGGGAUACGUAAGCAGUUCCAUCAAUGCAUACUGUGCAACCAACCUUUCCCUUAAACUGGCCUGAUAAUGUGAAGAGAGCAGGGUAAUCGUUGAUCGUAACAAAAAGAAUUGCUCUCAGCGUGAAUGAACCUUUACGAUACUCAUCCAACAUUUGAACACCCGUUUCCCACAAUAUUUUCAUAUCCUCCAUUAAGGGCUCCAAAAAUACAUCCAUGUCAACUCCAGGUUGUGUAGGUCCAGAAAUAAGGAUGGUUAGCAAAAUGUACUUCCGUUUCUGCAUCAACCAUGAAGGAAGGUUGUAUAUGGUGAGGAUCACCAGCCAUGUGCUAUGCUUGCUGCUCCUCUCAGCAAAUGGGUUCAUUCCAUCAGUACUCAGUGCGAACCUAACAUUUCUUGGUUCAUCGGCAAAGUCUCGGUGGUUGUCAUUGAAAUCUUGCCACUGCUUCCCAUCGGCUGGAUGUCGAAGCUUCCCAUCGUUUUUGUGCUCAUCAGAAGCAUGCCAGCUCAUAAGUCUGGCAUCCUUAGGAUUAGCGAACAAACACCUCAAUCGAUCGACGACGGGGAGGUACCACAUCACCAAAGCAGGAAUCUUUUUGAGCGCAUAAUAGUCUACUUCUUUUUCUUUGCUCGUGGAUUUUGAAGUCUUUUUUUGGGCUUUCUUUCGCUUCUUCCCUUUAGACACGGAUGCAACACACUCUUCCUCUCGAUAGUCUUUAUUCGUCUUGUACCUACUUGCACCGCACUUUGGGCAGCUCUCCAAGUCUUUAUAAUCAUCACCUCGAUAAAGGAUGCAGUGAUUUCUACACGCGUGGAUUUCUCCACACCCAUAGUGAGCGGACUGAUUAGUUUCUUUGCAUAGUACGUGUUAGCAGACACUUUGUUCUCCUUUGGAAGCAUGUCUGCGAUAAUACUCAAGAACGCAUCGAAGCCAGCAUCAGACACACCAUAUCUAGCUUUUAACAUCAACAGCUUUAGCACAGACCGGAGCGUCGUGAACUCUUUGGUACAACCCUUAGACUCGUCGUACAAAGGCUCUUCUGCUGCCUUCUUCAGGGACUCCAUACCUUUCAUGAAGAACAUCGAUUGAUCUGUAUGACGACGCAACAUUGCCUCUAGCAACUCUGCAUCUUCCUCAUCCAUAACACUUGGCAGAACAUGAGGUCUAUCAUGUUCAUUUCCUCCAGCGUAACCAUGAUCAGUAACAUUUUGCACUACAUGUUCGCUCUGUGGAAGAGGUUGGUGUGUCUCGUGAACGAAUUGAAAUCUGUCGUCGAUGUUCUCAGGGUUUCCAGUCGUAUAAGGCGAAGAGCUACCCUCUCCAUGCUUUGUCCAAAUUGUGUAAUCCUUCAUAAAUCCUCGGCAUACCAGAUGAGAUAUGAUUUGUUCUGUGUCAUUAAAUACAGCAGCAUUUUUGCAGUCCAUGCAUGAACAAUAUAUGUGUUUUGUCUUUGUUCUCCAAGCAUGGUUCGUAGCGACAUCAAUAAACCUAUGGACCUCAGAUAUGUAUGAUGGAUCUAGCCUUGAUAAGUUAUACAUCCAGGAUGUCCUCUCCAUCACCACCUGUAAAAAAGUAACAUAAACACACAAGAACCAACCUUUCUUAGCAACCUUCUUCCAAAAAUAAAGAUAAAAACCUCCCCCCUUGUAUUUUGUGAAAUCUGGCCCUCCAAUGGAAGUUGGGCUGCGAGCUAUAGUUCUUGUCGGGAAGGAUGAAGGGGUGAAACCCUAUAUCCAAAAUGUGGCUAAAUUUGAGGAAAAUGAACAAAAAUUAGCAAGAGGAACAUAAAACCAAACUUUCCUAGCCAUACUCUUCUCUCUAACACAUGGUGAAGGCCUAGUUCCAAAAUUGAGCAAAGAUGAACAAUAAUUGGCAAUUAAAACAUAAUUAAACCAACCUUUCAUAGCAACUAAUAAUAAAAACAAUCUUAAUUACCAAACCUAUCUUCUUCUCUCUCCACACAACACAUGAACCAUUCAUUAAACAACUUAAUAUGUCAUGGAUAAACUGAUUUGAGAACUAAACAUGAAAAAGGAGAGAGGAUAGACAAAAUCUAACCAUAUUAAACAACUUUAUUUGAGAGAAUAGAGAAAAUAACCUAGCUAUACACUUUCUCUCAAAUGGUGAAACCCUAGAUCCAAAAUGUGGCUAAAAUUGAGCAAAAAUGAAUAAAAAUUGACAUUAGCAACAUAAACCAACCUUUCUUAGCAAUCUUCUUCCAAAAAAUGAAGAUCAAAACCUCUCCCCAUGUAUUUUGUGAAAUCUGGACCUCCAAAAUCGCCUCCAAUGGAAGUUGGCUGCGAGCAUACAGUUCACUGUCGGGGGAAGAAGAGGGGUAUUUAUAACAGACAGUUCACUGGCGGUUGGCUUUAAAAACCGCCAGUGGAAACCUAUUUCCACUGGCGGUUAUCUUAACACAACCGCCAGUGGAAAUAGGAUGUUUCCACUGACGGUUAAGUUAAGAUAACCGCCAGUGGAAAUCAAUUUUCACUGGCGGUUGGUGUUACACAACCGCCAGUGGAAACAUCCUAUUUCCACUAGCGGUUGUGUUAAGAUAACCGCCAGUGGAAAUAGGUUUCCACUGGCGGUUUCUUAAGCCGGGCCCACCUGUUUCUUUCACUGACGUUUGAUAACGGAAACCGCCAGUGAAAAGUUGAACGUGUCGCAGGCUUUAAGCUCUUUUCUACUAGUGCGCCACCCGGUCCCACCAGCACGCACUCACGUACAUGGUGACGACGAGGCAUCCACUACGGCGAUCAUCUGAAAGGUCCAAGCAGCUCCAUGCAUGUUUAUGUAAGUCGCCGCCGUGCAGUCGAAAGAAACAUAACUGUCAACUAGCAACAACGGACGCACGUGCAUAUUUGCUUUAGUGACGCAAAUCGGACCUCGGUAGCCAGCUAGAGGAUCAAAGGUUGGCCAUGGCAACUGGCGGCGCCUACUCACUUGAUCUGCUUCCUAUCCGUCCUGCCGAUAAGGUCGGCGGCUUCCUGCCCGUCUUGCCGCUGGAUCAUGCAUGUCGGACUCGGAGUCACUACCGGAAUCCGGGCACCAGUAUAGCACUCGGAACUAUACCACUCGGUAAAAAACCAAGACCUGAGCACCAGUAUAAGUUCUUUGUCGAGUGUAGUGGCUCUGGCACUCGGCAAAGAAGCACACUUUGCCGAGUGCCAUACCAGGCAUUCGGCAAAGUACCUGACAUGGGGACCUCUCUGGCGGAUUCUUUGCUGAGUGCUGUUAGGCACACACUCGGCAAAGGUAACUUCUUUGCCGAGUGUUGCCUGGGACACUCGGCAAAGACUCCGUCUCCGUCACCCAUCGCCGUAACGGAUGCUUUUCUUUGCCGAGUGCUCUCUGGCACUCGGCAAACCACUUUGUCGAGUGCCCGAAAAAGUACUCGGCAAAGACGGUUUUACCGAUGCACUGUAUGCCGAGCCCUUUUGUCGAAUGCGACAUUCGGCAAAGCGUUUACCGAGUGUUUUUAAGGCUUUAUCGAGUGUUUCAGGCACUCGGCAAAGCCGUCGGUUCCGGUAGUGAAUGGUCACCUCUGUUACUGUAGAGAUACAGGCCGGUAGGUCAGCGGCUAGACACGUGGCGUGUCCAAUGCAUGCACGCAUGUGUGGAGGGAGCUAGCUAGCUACAUGGCCCAUGGCCGCCGGCACCAUGGAUGUGUUCCACAUGCAUGCGGCCGAGGUUGGAUAUGGAUGUUAGUUGUGCAGAAGUCAGCGUCCAAUCAGAGACAACUAGCCAUAUUUCCGUGCAAUGCUACGGUUUAUGUGUCCGUGCAAUGCUACAAUUUUUAUAGGAUAAAUUUUAUUUUAAUAAAGCAUAAUAUAUAUAUUUUCUAUUGAUUAAGUAGUUGUGAAUGUAGAGCCAACAACUAAGGUUUAAAUACUCCCUUAUACAUAAUUUCACCUUAUUUUUUAUAUAAACUCUUCUAUUAUAGCAGUAGAGAAGAGAUUAUAGUAGUGCGGAUUGAUUCUAAACAAAUGUAGUUUUUUUAAAAAAAAAUGACGCGGGCGACCGUUGAAACUGAUGCUUUAAUAUAGUAGAGAUAGAGAAAGUGUAUGUUUGGUUGAGAAAUGGAGAAGAAUGGAAUGGUUUUAUUCCUAUUUUUUGGAUGUUAAUUUGGUUUCAAAUAAAAGAAGAGCGGUCUUCAUAUGAAAAUUUACCAUAAAUAAUUUAUAAUGCUCCCGCUCUAAAAGAACGACCGGAUGCGAUCGCUCUCCUCACUCUUCUACCAUCUACACUUAUAUGGCUCUACAACGAAAUUUCAACCAAACAAAAAAUGGAGCAGCUCUAUUCUAUUUGCCAAACGCGAAAUAAAACGGUUUUAUUCUAAAAAACCGGAAUGGUGUCACUCCAUUCUAGUUGACUCUCCAACCAGUGUAUUAUUGACUUAUUGUUGACGCUGAAUUUUAUAUUAAAUUACACAGAGGUAAAAUUUGCAACAAUGAUCUAGCUAGGGAUCUAAGAUACGAUGUUAUCAAAGAUGGGUGGUGGGUUUCAGUCUCCAGUGAGGAAGGAUGCGCGCAAAGAGCACUCCAAACCACUCACUAUGGAUAAUAAUAACGGGUAAUCACUGUUUAUUUCUGGAUAAUCUUAGCCUUGCACUGAAGAUGACUAAGCUUAGGACGUGGACAUUUUUUUUACAGCUGGAACAUGCAUGUAUGAUGUAUGGUCUUCUGAUAUCUCCAAAAAAAGAGAAAAGAUGUCGUCGAGCUGAGUCAUCAAUGAAUUUCUACAUCCUAAAGAAAUGGAAAGGGAACGCACUAGUGUUAUGCUAAAGCGAAAAUCUCUAGAAAAGACAAAAGCUUCUAGGCUUUUCUUAGAGAAGCGAAGCUUCUACUUACUUGCGCUCGUCUUCAGCUUGAACGGAUAAUCGACAGAUAUAUGCAGGGGACUGUGGUAGUACAAAUCAUCCAAGUCAUCAUGGUACAAGGAUGACACUAGUAGAAAAGAGCUCUAAGGUGGCGGCACGUAGAAAUUUAUACUGGCGGUUUCAGUUACAACACGCCAGUGAAAAAAACAGGGCCCGCCUUAACGAACCGACAGUGUAAAUAUAUAUACACUGACGGUUCACUUAACAUAACCGUCAGUGUAAAGGAUGCAUUUACACUGGCGGUUAUAUUAAGUAAACCGCCAGUGGAAAUAUCAUAUACACUGGCGGAUGUAUAAAGUGCACCGUCAGUGUAAAGGAUAUAUAUACACUAGCGGCUGUAUAAAGUACGCCGCCAGUGAAAAUAUCAUAUACACAUGCGGCUGUAUAAAGUGCACCGUCAGUGUAAAGGAUGUAUAUAAACUGGCGGCUGUAUAAAGUACGCCGCCAGUGAAAAUAUCAUAUACACCAGCGGCUGAUUAAAGUGCACCGUCAGUGUAAAGGAUGUAUAUACACUGGCGGCUGUAUACAGUACGCCGCCAGUGAAAAUAUCAUAUACACUGGCGGCUGUAUAAAGUACACCGUCAGUGUGAAGGAUGUAUAUACACUGGCAGUCACUUAGGGGGUGUUUGGUUUAAGGAAUCACUACAUCCAAAUUGAGGUGGUGCAUCAUGGGUUCAUUUCUCAAAUUUGGUGGGAUGACCCUAUUCCUCAUAUUAGUACUAAUUCAUAUACACUGGUGUGUUUGGUUUGUGGAGUCACUCUAUGCUUCAUGAGGUGAUGCAUCAUAAAUUCAUUCCAUCAAUUUUGGUGGAAUCAACCCACUCCUCAUGUAUAUACUAAUUUAUUAGCUUAUAUAUGAGGAAUGUGGUGGUGAUGGAUCAACCCAUUCUAUUCCACAAACCAAAUAAAAAAGUGAGGAGUGAGAAUAAGAUGUAUCACUUCAUUCCUCAAACCAAACACACUCUAACUAACUAAUUAUGAGGAAUGAGGUGGUGAUGGAUCAACUCAUUCCAUUCUACAAACCAAACAAAAAUAGUGAGGAGUGAGAAGAUGAUGGAUUAGCUAAUUCCUCAAACCAAACACCCUAUUAUCGAAACCGUCAAUACAUUGCAUGAAUAAUCGGUACUAGAGAGGAUUCCAUACCCCAAUACAUUGCGUGAUUACUCAGUGAUCGGUACCCCCAAUACAUUGCAUCAAUACCAGAGAGGUGAUCAAUACAUCUGAGAUAAACAAUAUAUCACUAACUACUUCAUUACAUCUAACUACUUCAUUACAUACACUACAUCAUUGAUAUUCCAGCAGCGAUCCAAUCUCUCAAAUAUGUCAUUUCUAGACUUGCAUUUACAACGUAAUCAGCUUGGCCAUGCGAACUACUCCCUGAUCCUCCUAUGUGGCCUCGGUCCAACAAAUAGUUAUGCAAAGCAAAACAAGCAAUUAUAAUCUUAACUUGCAUGCUUCUUUCGUAAAAUGGGAGUCCUCGUAGCACAUGCCACCUUGAUUUGAGUAGUCCAAAAGCCCGUUCAACUACAUUACGUAGACUCGAGUGGUGGAAAUUAAACUUUUCCUGCACACUCUCUACUCCUGUUUGAUUAAAAUCUUCUAAGUGAUGUCUCUGAUUCCGAUAUGGUGGCAAGUAACCUUCGCGAAUUGAGUAACCCACAUCCACUAGAUAAUACCUCCCUGUACAAAAAAAUAAACCCAAAAAAAGAUUUACUACAUCGUAAUGCAUGUAUGCAAUGGCGCCAACAAAACAUGCAUGCGACCAUACCUGCUGGUGGGUGUGGAUAGUUCGCUUCUCCCAUACAACUCCUGAGUACUGCCAUGUCAUGGCAAGAACCAGGCAACCCAGCACCUACAAAAGUGAACCGCAUAUCCAUGUCCACUAUAGCUAAUACAUUGUAGCUAGGCCACCCUUUUCUAUUUAUGUGUUCAAGCCUCGACUCAUGACAUACAUGAGCUGGAAUGUGUGUGCCAUCUAAGGCUCCUAUGCACCCAUCAAAGAAAGGGGCAUAAGGUCUAAGCUUGUUAUGCACUUUAGAAAAUGUUGGAUCCUUGGGACAUAUAGUGGUUUGUGCAAAACUAUACAGUGCAUCUGCCACCAUAGCCAUUUUUCUAUGGAUGGUAUCCAAAGACCUUUUAAAUCUGUCUCUAAUUUGUCGUGUUGCUUGUUGUGUCCCACAUGCCCAUAAGAACAUCCCUAAUGCUUCACAUGACUCCACCUCUUGUGUUGACCUUAACCCAUGAUACCUCACUAAAGUAUCAUGCAAUUCUCUAAAAUAAUCUGGAGUCAUACAAAAAUUGUCGUGACACCUCCUAGAGUCCCUCAUAUUAAGUUCCACCCAUUGCCGUCCUGUCACGUGCGGCAAUGGAGUAUGAAGAUUGAUCAUAGGAGCAAGAGUAUACGAACUAGAAGCGAAAGCAGCUAGAACCGCCGCUGCACCAGCUUGUUGGAAUAUGUUGGAGCUAUCAUCACUUGCCGUGUCGCUAUGGCUGGAGUCUUCUGCACUACUCAUCUCGGAGUUGCCUACAUUUAACAGAAAUGCAAUACUCACCAAUUUGAUUAUAGACCAUUCAAAACAGAUCGAAAUACAAUACUUAACAUACAAUGUUAUAAAACUAAAGUGCACAAGCACAUAAAUUAAAUUGAACUACAAUAUGUCCGCAAACAUCAAAUAAUACCAGAGUGAUUACAACACACACAUUCAAAACUAGACGAGAAAACUUAACAGUGUAUCAAAGCAUUAUUACAACACCACACAGACAAGCUACUUGUUAUUAAUAUGAUUCCAUUGGAACCUAAUCCAAUGGAGGCGUCCCUCUUUGCUUGUCAGUUGAAGAAAAAACUUCCUAUUUAUAUCAUUUUUGCAAAGAAUAUUUGCCAUGCAGUACAAAUCAGAGUCUUCUUCAAUUCCAUCUUCCUUUAAAAGUCGCACAACCUUGACAACUUCUUCGUUUCCACGAUUAAGAGUCUUCUUCAAGUCCAGCUGGCUUCUGAUGCUAAUGCAAUCAGAAAUAUUAGCAAUGUGAUCUUCCAAACUCAUCCUUUUUGCCUUAGGGGGCUAUCCACUGUGGCUUCUCUGAUCCUUUUGGACGAGCAACCCACACCGUCAUCAGGAGUACCGCGGCUGCCAUAGCUUCGCAAGGGUUCACGGACACCUCCAGCACUAAUCAAAUUGCCCCUGUCGUGUGUGGUUCAACUAAACAAAGUGUAAAGCUCAUCAAGAAAGGGUGGUGGUUUUCCUCGACUGCCCUGAGGACUAGGAUCCUGCGUUUGAACAUAGUGCAGAUUUAGUAUUGGUCCAUAAAAAAACUUGUAAUCAAUUCAUGAACAAUGUACCCCUUCCUGGGUCCCCAGUACGAAUCAUCUGCUGCUAUAUCACCAGUCCUUGGUUCAAGGCCAAGCCCAAUAUGGUUCUGCAAGUAUUGCCACUGCUGGAAAGACCUUCGGAGCAAGUUCAAUUUGUUUUGCAGUUUUUUGUUGUCAUAAUCAAGACCAGUCUGCUCUCUAAAGCUGCGAUACACUUAUUGCCAUCCAUAUUUAGUUAAGCCCAUGCUAUUGAAGUUAUUAAGGUUCUUCUGAUUGAUGCAUAGGUCAAUGAAUGUUUUAGUUGUCAUCGGAUCCCAACUGGCACGGUCCGACGAACUCAUCUGUGGGCAAGUUGCACAUGCACGUAACUAUUUGGAACAGAGGACAUGUAGUAAAAGAAACAAGAACUUGUCGUGGUUAAAGAAACAAGAUAAGAACUUGCUGUAAGUCAAUGAAUACAAAGACACAUUUAAUAAUUUCUGAAACAGAUGACAUAAGAAACAAGAUAAGUUAUGCACAAAAGAACUUACCAUGGAAGUGGUUUUGGCACGCUUCUUGCGUAGGUUGUACUGAAUAGGUGCAGUUCUCUUGUCACGUGCAGGUUCCGGGGAACAAGAAUCAGUGAAUGAAUGUGCCAGAUUGGGCAAACUUAUGCACGAACUGCGCCGAAAAAGAAGAGUGAUUUAAUACAUUAAAAUGGAGGCACGAGGGCAGAUAGCAACAGACAUUGCGAUCCCAGGACGUAAGUUUCAUGGAAGCGACAUACCGGAUGAUUAUUGCAGGGUAGAAGUGACGAUGGUCAUCCAAGGAUCUGAGAAUGACAUGCUAGACAUCCCUAGGCCCGAAGGAAUCGAGACACUUGGACAAGCCAUCAAAAAUUUCAUCCUUUGGCCUCGAAGGGAUGUCGAAUUGGUUGAUCCACCAACGCCGUCGUCAUCUCAUCCCCAACCAUCUCCGCCUCCUCAAACUUUAGUACCUUUACAUCCAUCAUCACCUCCACAAUCUUCCCAUGCCGCUCCUCAUCCUCUUUCUAAUCCACCGUCUCCACCACAGGCAUCAACAUUUAGGACACCACCACCUUCUCCACAGCCAUCAAGGGAUUCACGACAAUCAAAGAAAUCUAAAUUCCCUCUACCAAAAUUGGUGUCCACAUUCGAGAAAAAGAAGAGUAAAGCUACUACUGCUGGCACAGCUCGAUUUUUGAAAGGGAUUGGACGGGACCUCACGCCACGUACUAUUGAUUUGGCCGAGCACGAGGAGUCUGCAGAAAAGGCUAAGGCAAUGGCAGCAAAGAUAAAGAUCCCAACUAAGGCAGAUUAUAAAAAUGUGCCUAAACAUUAUGUGCUGGCCAGACCUCUACUAACUCUUGAGAAAUUGAGGAAGGUCCCUGCUGGUAUUAAAAGGUUACAUGACUGGUACAUGCGUGCAUCAUCAGUUGGCAUUGACGCCAUUUGCAUAUACCAGACCAUGCUUUUAUUGGUUCGGACCAAAAGACCUUUCUUGCAUUCGAGGAUAUGUGGUUAAUGAUGAACCUUCAGAAACUAGACGUGCAACUUGUGACUCUAUUUGCACUGUAAGUGUCGCUCAUAUUUCCACAUUAUGUGUUAUUAAUUUUCAAUAUCUGACACAUGCACGUGUGACUUGUAGAAUGCAACAUGACCAACAAGAGAUCCUGUACGGUACCAAGCCCGAUGCUAAUGCCGGUAAAAGGAUUGAGUAUCUGAACCCAAUACUGAUAUGUGAGGAAAGCCACACUUUCAGAAUCGGCAAAGACAAUGAAGUGUUAACGGGAAAGACGGACGAAGAAGUUGAGCAUCGCAUAAAUACUAUGAAGAAUGAUUUUGAAGCAAGAUACGCCACCUACAUAGCAAAUGCAGUGCUUAAAUUUCAAGACAGGGAAGCUAUAAUGGCCCCCUACAACUUUAAUUAAGUGUGAUUUUGCAUAAAAAAUAAUAAUUUCAAUACACAUGCAUCACAAAUUAAUUUUAUUCAUACAGGGACCACUGGAUAUGCUUCCUCAUUUAUCCUAAGGUUGGAAAGGUGCUGGUGCUCGACUCCUUGAACUAUGACCCUUCAACCUAUGCAAAAUUCCUUAGUAUCUUAGAGCAGUAAGUCUUUUCUAUGCAUGCAUGCAUACUUAUAUCGUUGAGAAAAUUUUGAAAUAACAUGGAGAUUCUACUUGAGAUCACAGAGCAUUUAGGUUCUAUAAGUUUAAAGGUGGAAAGUACGACAAGACCAAAAAAUGUGUUCCACUAGACAUCCAUCAUCACUGGCCGGUAAGUAUGUGAAUUUAUGAAUACAUAUCAUACACAAUGCUGCAACCAAAUAACCAAUCUCUCCUGUUAUGUAUGUAGUGCCACAAGCAACCACAAGGAUCGGUCCUAUGUGGGUUCUAUGCGUGCGAGUUUAUGAGAAUGAACGGACGAUACAUCACAAACCCUAGCAAGGUAUUAUUAGUAAUAGUCAUGUUUGUAUUUGUAAAUUAACGAUGCAAAUGUGAAUAGAUGAUGUUUAUAAGCUUCCUUUACAGGAAUUUCAAAAAGGAAAUCCGGAGAACUUGACCGAAGCUGCAUUGCAUGGUAUAGUUGAAGACCUAUGCACAUUCAUAUUAAAAGAGGUCAUUCCAGCUGAAGGGAAAUAUCACGACGCUUCCAGUACAUUAGCUAUACCAGAGUUUAGAAUAUUAACAGAAGUUAGUAGACUAUCUCUUAAACGAGAUAGUUACUAGCUAGAGCAUAUGUGAAAACUUAUAUGUUCAGUUUUGAUGUAUAGAAUGUAUCGAAUUUAAUUAAGUUUUGAUUGAUUGAAAAUGUAUAGUUGUAAACAGAAAAAUAUGUGUUGUAAACAAUAUAUUGUAAACAGAUCUGUGUAUAAAAUUCAGUUUUGAUGUAUAAAAUUCAGUUUUGUUUGAAAUGGUAAGCAGACCGCCAGUGCUAAUAUUAUUUCCACUGGCGAGCUGCUAAAGAAAACCGCCAGUGAUAAUAAUGUUUCCACAGGCGUUUUCUUAAGCAGCCCGCCAGUGAAAAUUCAGUUUUGUUUGAAAAAUUGAAAAAGGCAGGAAACUUAUACUGGCGGGAAGCUGAAGAAAACCGCCAGUGAUAAUAAUCUUUCCACUGCCGGUGUCUUAAGCAGCCCGCCUGUGAAAAUGAUGUUUCCACAUACGGUUUCUUAACCAAACCGCCAGUGCUAAAUAUAUUUACACUAGCGGGCUACUUAAGAAAACCGCCAGUGCUAAUAUUAUCAGCACUGUCGGUUUUCUUAAGAAACCGCAUGUGAAGACAACAUUUACACUGGCGGGCUGCUAAAGAAAACCGCUAGUGCUAAUAAUAUUAGCACUGGCGGUUUUCUUAAGAAACCGCAUGUGGAGACAACAUUUUCAUAGGCGGGCUACUUAAGACACCUCCAGUGAUAAUAAUAUUUCCACAUGCGGUUUCUUAAGCAAACCGCCAGUGCUAAUGAUAUUUACACUGGCGGGCUGCUAAAGAAAACCGCCAGUGCUAAUGAUAUUUACAAUGGCGGUUGGCAAACAACCGCCUGUGAAAAAAGACUGAUUUCUAUUGGCCCCUAGCACUGGCGGCACUGAAAAACGCCAGUGCAAAUAGCUCUAGGACCGCCACUAUAGAGCUUCUGUGUACUAGUGUGAGUGGCGAGUCUUAAGGGGGUGUUCUAUGGUCUAAAGUUUACACUACUAGAACAAAGUACUUUGCCACGCAUAACAUUCGGCAAAAGCUUUAUCGAGUGUAGCAUUCGGUAAAAAGGACUCGAUGAACAGUUUAUCGACAACGGUCUAUUUACAGAGUACUUUAUGUCGAGCACUCAGUAAAAAGGACUCGACGAACAGUUUAUUCAAGCGACGGUGACGAAGUCUUUACCAAGUGUCUGCUGACUUGACACUCGACAAAGGGAACUCCAGUGCCCCCCACGCCAGUCUGUGUGCCAAGUGUGCGGUCUGGCACUCGGUAAAGGUAACUUCUUUGCGGAGUGUUAGGACCAUAACAUUUGGCAAAGAAGCUUUACUAAUUCCUAGGUGUGCUUUAUUUGCUGAGUGCUAUGGUCAUUGUACUCGGCAAAGGCACUCUUUGUCGAGUGUGACAUUCAGCAAAGCGACUAGAGUCCCCAUUUUUAUUUGUUUUUAUUAUUCCAUCCAAACAAAUAAAAGAUAUAUCACAUAAUCAUCACAUGUAUAUUGCAGAUAUCACAGAAUCAUCACAUACAUCAUAGACAGUACAUGUCACACCCGGUUUUAGAAGGUAAACCGAAUGCGAACCAUGUACGUGCCAGGAUCAGCAAUUCACGUACACAACAGUUACAUAACAUGGACAUCAUCACACAGUGCUCAAAUAGUAUUAAAAAAGGGAAUAAUAAUCGAUUACAUCAUAUGUCUGAGACAUCCACAUAGUCUUUACAAUAAUCAAAGUGCGAAAACGAAACAUAGAUAAACGCGGCUUUCACAGGCAGCCGACUAGGGGUUGCCGCUAACCCACGCCUAGAACCCGUCGUAAUCUUGGAACUCCUGGUGGUCUCCUUCCACAGCUUCAUCCUCUCCUGAGCAGGGGUUGCAAUGCUGACAACCUGGGGAUGGGGGGGGUUUGGUGUGUAGAGCAAGGGUGAGUACACAUCAACAUACUUAGCAAAUGUCCUGUUUGGCUGAGGUGGACUAGCUUUAUGUGGAGUUAAGUCAAGCUGUUGCUUUUAGUUGGUCAGGUUAUUAUUACUAGUAGAAAGCCAGGUUUUAGAAUUAACCCACGUUAUUAACCCAAAUGUACUCCUUUCCAAACGGAAAGGGUACCACUUACCAUUACCAGAGUCAAUACCAAGAACCAUCAAUCUCAUUGCCACCUGCAAUCCGAACAUCUCUAAUCAAGUACCACUAAUCACUGGAGCUCACUUGGCCGCUCAUAACCGCGAGCACGGCUGAUAUAUCAACUUUCAAACACUCUGCAGAGGUUGUGCACUUUACCCACAAGCCGUGAUUCCCUUUCUGCCCGGAGAUCAUGACUCUCCAUUGAUCACUACCAAGGUGACCCAGCAGGGCCUCACUAUGUAGCCUUUACAAAGAUUUCCCGGGGCUGUAGCCGCCCGUUAGGUUUCCUAAAUGCACCGCACUCCUCCCCAAGGGGCGAACCCAAACUUGGCAGAGCGAGCCGCAUACACCGAGCCCCAUUAACGGCACGACGGCUAAGCGAACUACACCCCAGUUCUUCUAAUUAUUCAGCUAAGGGCAUCCCAUUCCACCCUCAUGGUUGCACUGUUUUCCCGGGCGGUCAUCCAACAAACAGGUCCUUACGGAGAGGCACUCGAGAAACCGCUCGAGCCCCCCUUGAAUACCACAAGUAUAACAUCAUAAUAAAGGAGGAGAAAACAACGUAUCAUUAAUAAUUCUCAUCAUGUUCAUUGAUUAGAGUUGAGCAAUAGCAUAAAGCUAAACAAUAAUAAUCCAACCCACAUGGGUAAACAAGGACAUGGAUAACAAAAGCUAGUCAAUCCUUAGGUAUAAAUGUGAAAUGCGGGAGGUGAAUUAAGAAUGUAUAGGACAAAGAUGGGUUAAGGGACACUUGCCUCCACCAACCAGCUGCUGCUCAGGGGCUUCUCCUUUGGGUUCCUCAGGUUCUUCAACCAGAUCGUUCUCUAUAUGAGCACAAACAUACAUACAUCCACAUAUUUAAUACAAAAGAACAGUACACCAUACAAUAGAAUGCAAUAAAUAAACAGACGUUCCACGCGGGGAUCGCAACUAUGGUUAAGAGAGAGAAAAAGGAAAAGACAGUCGAGAAACGAUCAUGUUACAUAAUUAUAAAUUAAACCACUCGCUUAACAGAAGGGCAUUAAUUUGGACACUACAUUUAGCAUAAAGUAAAGACAUGUUUCAUGUUUUAAUCAUUAUAGAUAGAUAAAGAUGAAUGAAAGGGAGUGGUCGCACGGCGAGACGUACGACACAACAUUUAGAUUGAAUUAAGAAGUAAACGACUCGCCGCGCGAUAGAGCGUGCAACGAGAUUCUUGCAUUAAUUAAAAGUAAUACGUUAAGUGUUGCGCGACGAAAUGCACGACGGCUUACGUCAACUGAACUACAUUUAAACGAAUCAUCGCGCGACGAAGCGCGCAACGCAGCACUUCAAUAAAUAUAAAUUAAAAGAAUCAUCGCGCGACGAAGCGCGCGACGCAGCACGUCGACUAAACAAAUUAAAAUAGAUUAAAACGGGGUUAAGCGCAGUGCGACUACGAUCGCACGCGCGAGAGCGCGCUGCGCGUGCCGAGGGCACGCGAGCCGUGUAGACGCGCGGGACGCGAGUCGCCGGGGCAUGGGCGCGGGCAGGGGGCACGGCCGAGGGGGCGCACGGCCGAGGGCGCGUGGCCGAGGCACGGCGGGGCGCGGCCAGGGCACGGUCGAGGGAGCGGCGUGGGGGCGGGGCUCGCCGAGGAGCAGGGGAGGGCGCGCGGGGAGGCCGUUAGAGGGGGGCCGCGACGGGGGCGGGGGCUCGUCGAGGUGAGGAGGGCGCGGGUAGGGGAGGGGCGCGUGGCAGGGGAAGGGCGCGCGUGGGGGCAGUUUGGCGGGGGUUGCCGCGGCGAGGGCGGGGCUCGCCGGGGAAGGAGGCUCACCGGGCGCAGGGAGGGGCGCUCGGCGGGGAAGGGGCGCGUGACGCCAGGGCGGCGCGGGCGCGAUCGAGGGGGCUCACCGGGGCGCGGGGCACGGGGCGCGCGAGCCGAGGGCGGCGCGGGCGAGGCCGCGGGAGGGCGCCGGGGCGCAGGGCGUGUGAGCCGAGGGCGGCACGGCCGCGGGAGGGCACGCGGGCGCGGCCGAGGGGGCUCGCCGGGGCGCGGAGCGCGCGCGAGCAGGGCGCGGGACGCGCGCGGCUACGGGAAGAAGAAAGGGAGGGGGAGGGAGACAGAGAGAAGGGAAGGGGAGGGGAAAAACUCACCUCCGGGGAUCCAAACUCCAGCGAUCUCGACUCCAAACCUUAGGGCAGCACGGGGAGAGAGAGAGAGGUGGAAGAGGGAGAAGGAGGUUACUGCGCGGGAGAAAUCAAAUGAGCCAAACGGAUCUGGGGGAGGGGGCGCGCAUGGGGAGGGCAGGGGGCGCCAGGGGCGCGCGGGCCGGACUAGGCCACACCACGGAUCAAAACCCAUGACACGCACGACCAUUAAAUGGAAUCCAAUCGCGAACCGAAAUCCGAAACGGAACGAGACGAACACGCGACAUCAGACAAAGAAAUGUGCUUCGACAUGAUGCAACACCCAUGACACUUAGGUUUUGUUUAUACAUGACACGGACACCUGUCACUAUACUGGUUUGAAAUUAGGAAGGAGUGAAACGGGAAGAGAAAAGAGAGUAACGCCCGAAUUUGGUGAGUGAAAAGAAGAAAAAAUUCUACCCCCAAAUUCAGGGCGUUACAGUACAUAUCUCACAAAGACCACAAAUCUCACAAGUUUCUUCACAAAGAUAACAAAAAGGUUGAUGUCACAUGUAUCACAAAAUAGUUCACAAAACUCACAAGUACUCAUAGAAAUUAGUCCACAACAUCCAAUCUAUGCCAUAAACAUGUCCCACAACUAAGUUCAGAAGAACAUCAGCGAGGUGGCCAGCUGAACUGAUUCGGCGAAGGGUUGGGCGAACCAUGAAGGUUGUUUGACACUGCCGAUUGAUUCUGCAUAGAGUAGAGAUUUUAUGUGUGAGACCAAAUGAAAUAUAUAUCAUACAUGACUAAAAUUUUCAUACUUAUAAGAGUAGAAAACUGAGUAGGUUCACCUGCAGGGAAUAAUGGAGGUGGUGGAGCAAAACCUGAUGUGGUACCAAGGUCUGCAUGUACUGAAACAUCUCUGCCAUCCUCUACUGAUCAACCAAGCCAGUCACCCGCUCCACCUCCCGCCCCUCAUCCUCGCCUCCAUCUCCAUACAUUCCCUCCUCUCUUCUUCUAGCUGAGCCUGCAAUAUUUCACCCCAAUGUUACGAUAAUGUAAAGAGAAGGCAUAUAACUCAGUGAAUUGACGAGGCAUAGAAGCACUAACAUGGAGUUCUUGUAUGCGAUGAUGUGAGCUGUCUUGCCGAGAUCGUAUGGCUGGGCUUGCGCUCGUGCUCCUUGCUCGCACCUGAGAUAGAGUGGGAAUAGAGAAUGAGUCAAUUGCCUCGUCGGCAAUCCAGUACUGUCCGUGCCUCCUAUCUCCUCCAACCCUCAUGAGGGCAUCUCCGUCUAUGUCCUCGGACCUCAGAUCGUAUUCUGGCCCAUGGACCUCCUACUCUUUUGCCAUGGCAGUGUACUCACUAAGGCGUCUUUGCACGUUGAGGUUGUUGUACGCCUCGGACCCAUCCUCUGGGUUGUAGGUGAUGUCGGACGUCGCCUUUCCCUUGUGGGCCAUAGCAUACAACGAGAAAAUGAAACAAGGUUGACUACCAUGUGAUGCCGACAGCGAGAAAACCAACGAUAUAGUUAGAAAUCAUGCAUAAUCGAAAGCUAGACUAAAUAAAAUAAAUCGUGUAACCAUGUUUCUGCGUAUUUGGUGACGCCGCCACUGCCUUGGUGGUGGGAGGCACCUUGCAUCAUCAAACGCUGGUCCCGACAAGCGUUGUGUGUCUCAUCUCACUCGUUGGAGCACCUCCUUUGCACCAUCCGAUCCCAGCACUCAUGGAUGCACUGUGCACAAAUAAGGAAUCGUCUAUAGGAAAUAAAAUAUAUGACAUAUUAGAAGAUAAAAUUAAGCAUAUUUAAUGUCAAUAUUAGUGCGUGACGACCAUGGCUCCCUAAUCCAGCGGCACUACGGCGGUAGCUCCCCGGUGGCACGGCGGCGGCAACAGUUCCUCGAUCUAGAGGCACGGCGACAGCGGCUCCCCGAUCUGGAGGCACGACAUCGAUAGCUUCCUAGAUGCCUGGCGGUGGCGGCUCCCUAGAGGCGCGUGCGGGGUUUGCCAUCCGCACCGUGGGCCCCAUGACAUUCUUUGAUCCGGCGCACUUCGAGCACCCCCGGCGAGCGGUGGCGAACCCAGAGGCGAGGUGGCGAUUCCGCGAGUGGCGGCCCUAUUUUUAUGCUACUUUGUAUACAUAUUUUAUACCAAUGUCAAUAGGUGUUUACGACAUAUAUUUCAGUUCAUGGCUCCCCUUCCAUAUAUUGUUUGUCUAUAAUAUUUCUAUUCACAUUUUAAGCAAACAUUUAUUGAUUUUAUGUAUUAUCUCAUUACCUAACCUAGUGUGUAUAUUGGGUUCCUACCAUUUACGCCAUAUGUAUAAGAUAUUUACGACACACUCGUUUACACAACGAAACAAAAAUUCACAAAAAAGGUAACCGCUCCCGGAAAUAAGGCCAUUUGCCAUGAUUUCAUAAAAUCUCACACAUGCAAUCCCUUGAUUAAUGGUGUCCACUACUACCAUAAAAAAAUUAUAUUCCUUAAUCAAUACACCUCAUUAAAUUUCCUAAUAAACUCAUCUAAUCGAAUUCCUUGAUUUAUGGUGGACGCAUGGACGUGGGGCUAUUGAUUCGAACCACAUGGCAGAUUUUUACGCACUGUACCGUAGUGCAUAAAUACCUUCACCAUGUAGCAUAAUUAGUAUCAAUAUAUAUCAUAAACGUUUUUAACGAGUCUAGCUGCUUGCCUGUUAGAGAGAUACUAUAUUUAUGAGGAAAUGAAGCAUUAAAUCAGUUUUUUUGUUUGCAUACAUGUCAAUCCAUUUACUUUCAACACACAUUAUUGUCAUCCUAAAUUUGUGAAAGGGAAAUAGGCUCACACAUUUUAAAAUAUACUCCAAAAGUGUCCUAUUUUUUUAAAAAUGUCAUAAAAUAUAGGUCACUUGUUAAAGUGUAACAAAUAUCUUGCACCGUUUUGGGCUGCCUUAUCUCUAACUGUAACUGAAAGGGAAAUAAGCUCACACCUUUUCCUAAAUGAUUUUGGUGGUUGAAUUGCCCAACACAAAUAAUUGGACUAACUAGUUUGCUCUAGAUCAUAAGUUCUAUAGGUGCCAAAGGUUCACAAUAAACCAAUACAAAGUUCAAAGAAAUGGUUCAAAAAAAGAAAGGAGCAAAGCAACCGAAGGCUGCCCUGGUCUGGCGCACCAGAGUGUCCAGUACACCAGGGUGGAUUCCCUCCAACUCGCUAGCUUCGGGAAUUUGGGGAGCCACUCCGCUAUAAUUCACUGGACUGUCUGGUGUAGCACCGGACUGUCCGGUGUGCCAAGCGGAGUAACGGCUAACAGCGCCAACGGUCGUCUGCAAAAGGUGAACAGUGAUCAACAGUGCGCGACUGCGCGUGCAGAGUCAGAGCAGGUGCCAGAAGGCGCACCGGACUGUCCGGUGGCCCCACAUGUCAGAGCUCCAACGGUCGGAACCCAACGGCUUGGUGACGUGGCUGGCGCACCGGACUGUCCGGUGCGCCAUACGACAGAAGCCCUCACCAACGGCCAUUUUGGUGGUUGGGGCUAUAAAUACCCCCAACCACCACACUUCAAUGCAUCCAAGUUUUCAGCCAUCAAACCUCAUACAAGAGCCCUAGACUUCAUUCCAAGACACAAACAAAGAGAUCAAAUCCUCUCCCAAAUCCGGAAUCACUCCAAACAAAUUAGUGACUAGAGAGAGAGAGACUUUUGUGUUCUUUUGAGCUCUUGCGCUUGGAUUGCUUUUAUUCUUCCUCUAUUCUUGUUUCCAACUCACUUGUAAUCAAAGCAAGAGACACCAAGUUGUGGUGGUCCUUGUAGUGGACUAAGUGUCCCAUUUGAUUGAAGAGAAAGGCUCACUCGGUCUAAGUGACCGUUUGAGAGAGGGAAAGGGUUGAAAGAGACCCGGUCUUUGUGAUCACCUCAACGGGGAGUAGGUUUGCAAGAACCGAACCUCGGUAAAACAAAUCACCGUGUCAUCCGCUCUUAUUUGCUUGUGAUUUGUUUUCGCUCUCUCUUUCGGACUCGAUUAUAUUUCUAACGCUAACCCCAGCUUGUAGUUGUGCUUAAACUUUAUAAAUUUCAGAUUUGCCUAUUCACCCCCCCUCUAGGCGACUUUCAAUUUGUGCGCAUGCAACAGAAAACAAUUUUUUACGCAAUGUACCACAUUGCAUAAAUAACUACAUCAUGUAGCAUAAUUGAUAUCAGUAUAUAUCAUAAACUUGUUCUAAUGAGGCUAACUACAUGGUUGUUGGAGAGAUCCUAUAUUUAUGGAGGAAAUGAAGCAUUCAAAUCAAACCGGCCUCAUGAAGUGGAAACAAAAAUGCCACCCAAAAUUAUCCCACAUGCGAUGAAAACUCACACGAUCUUCCAUAAUUAUCGGAACUACCAUAAAAAAUAGGAUAUGUAUGCAUGCGCCUGCGGCGUUGGAAGUGGUCCACUGGCUAGUCGCGGUUUUAUGUUAUCUCUAUGAACCAUUUAUGAUAUUUCUAUGAACUAUUUAUGUUAUUUACAAAAAAAUAGAACAACAAAUUAUAGCGUGUGUCCCAUGUGGAGGAUUGAGUGUUGGACCAGGGGUUUGACUGGUGCCCGUGGGAAGGUUUGACAUGGUGCACUGACCGACCAGGGGGUGGCUGGGGCUUCCCAUCAACAUUAGAAGCCUAGGGCUUCCAAUAUCCCUUUCAUAUAUAUAUAUAUAUAAAGAGCCCUGGGCUUCCAAUAACUAGAGGAAGCCUAGGUCCGGACGUCUAUAAAACAAGAUUUGGAGUGCUAGGGUUCGGUUUUUUACGCUCCACACUGAUUCAUUAGCGACGGCGUGUGCGACGACGACGCUUGCCCGAGAGCGUGCGCGGCGAUGGACCCCCAGUCGGUGGCCGCGGCUCCCUGACCUCGAUGUGCAGUGGCGGCGGUUCCUCAAUCCGGAGUAGUGGCGGCGGUUCCCAGGUCGGUGGCGGCGGCUCCCCGAUCCAGAUGGCGAGCGACAGCGGGGCCCUUGUGCGGGCAAGUAGCGGCGUCUCCGGGAUCCCGAGGCGGCGGCACUUCCAGGGCCGGCGAGCAAGCGGUGCCCCUCGACGUGCGAGUAGUGACGGCGACGCAUGAAGCGCAAGGUUCGAGCGAGCGGCGUCACAGGAGGCGCGAUGUGCGCGCAGCGAUGAUCGCGCGUGACAUCCUCCGAUCUAGCGCAGUUUGGGUGACCCGAGUGAUGACCUACAUUUGUGCUUGUGUCAUCGACGACGUCCUCCGGCCACUACCUCCUCCGAUUCAUGUUUUCUUUUCGAUUAUUGUGUUUUAUGACUACCACAUGUAUUAUUUACGCUAAAAAUUGUACGAUUUUAUGCUUGAACAUGGAGUUCGUAUAUCAGUUUACUGCAUGCAUAUUUUUUGCAUGCACAUUGGAAAAGCAAUUCCUUAAUUCAUGUUGUUCGUAAUUAUCAUAAGAAAUCAAAUCAUUUAUUUUCGUAAAUAUCAGAUUUGUACGUCUGUCAUAAAAUUAUCCCUAAUUCCCGCAUGUUGGUAAUUAUCAUAAAAAAUCAAAUCAAAUCACUUAUGUUCGUAAAUGCCAGAUUUUUACGUCUACCAUAAAACCGUCCCUAAUUUCCAUUGGCGUUCUUAGUUGAACCGAUAUAUUAUGCUACACGGUGUAAGUAUUUAUGCGAUGUUGUAUAAGAAUUUAUGCUCUAUUUGACUCAUGUCAUCUAAUUUUUUGCGCGCAUGCACUGGAAAGAAAAAUAUAAUCCAAAAUUUACACACAUGCAAUGGAAACUCCCACGAUUUGUCAUAAUUUUUGGAUCUGUAUAAAAACAGAAACUUCAUGCAUGCGGCGCCAUGUUUUUCAGAUCUACCAUAAACAUAGAAUCGUAAUAACAACCUACUAGAGCUAUCAACCUCUCACAUUGGCUCGAUAUUUACGCUUAUAAUUGAGGGGUUUUAUGCUCAAAACUUAAGGUUUUUACGCUUCAACCCGGAGAUGCGUCCACCAGUGAACAACAUGCCAGAUUUUUUAUGCAGUGUACCGCGUUGUAUAGAUACUUACAUCGUGUAGCAUAAUUUGUAUAAGUAUAUAUCAUAAACUGGUCUAACGAGCCUAGUUGCAUGGUUGUUGGAGGAAAUAAAACAUUUAAAUAAGUUUUUUGUUUCCAUGCAUACCAAUCGAUUUCCUUUCAUCGCAAAUCUUGUCAUCCUAAAUUUGUGCGCAUGCAGAAGGAAACAAACCUACACUGUGUAGUAUAAUUAGUAUCAAUAUAUAUCAUAAACUAGUUCUAACGUGUUUAGUUGCAUGGUUGUUGAAGGGAUCCUAUAUUUAUGAAGGAAAUAAAAUAUUAAAUAUGAUUUUUUGUUUCUAUGCAUGCCAAUUCAUUUUCUUUCAUUUCACAUUCUUUCCAUCAUAAAUUCGUGUGCAUGCAGCUGGUAACAGAUUUUUACGCAGUAUACCGAAUUGCAUAAUUAUCUACACAUUGUAGCAUAUUUAGUAUCAGUAUAUAUCAUAAAAUGGUUCUUACGAGUCUAGCUGCUUGACUGUUGCAGCGAUACUAAAUUUAUGGAGGAAAUAAAACAUUUUAAAAUAGAAACCGCCACACAUAUCUUUCUUAAAUUUACGCGCAUGCAAGAGAACAUAUUUGACUCAUGCAUGCAUUACUUUUUUGCGCACAUAGACGUGGCGCGGGUGGCGCACCCGACAGCCUGCUUGAGUUGUCGCGCUAGGUUGAACCAAGUUACAGGGGUAGUCGGCCUGGGCUUCCUUUAACUAUUGGAAGCCCAUAUAUAUAUAUAUAUAUAUAUAUAUAUAUAUAUAUAUAUAUAUAAAAUUGGGUUUGGUGGGAAAUCUGUAAAAAACAGAAAAAUAACCACUAGCGGCUAAGUUUAAAAAGAGUUGAAAAUAUUUUCACUAGCGGUUGUUAUAAGAGAACGUUAGUGGAAAUUUAUUUCCACAUUCAGUUGAGUAAAGAGAAUCGCUCACUUUCUACUGAUCCCUAGCACAAGUGGUGAAAAAAGUCAAUGAAAAUGAGUUAUGAACUGUCUCUAUAGAGCUUUUUUGUACUAGUAUCUUAUUUGCUCUCUUAUUUCAAACAACACUGUUUACAUAUAACUAGUGUUGUUUAUAGAGCAAUGCACGAUUUGUUGGCAACGACAUUAGGCUAUCUUUAACAGUCUUACUGUCUCACUCCUCAUUUAAAACUAAAUUUAUAAAUAGUGCAUCUACACACAUCCGUUGCGCGUAUUGCUGUAGAUGGCUUUAGGGUGCGUUUGGUUGGAGAGUCAAAUAGAUUGGAGUGGUUAAAUUCAAGAAUUUAAGAAUGGAGUCGUUCUAUUCUGUAUUUAAAAAAAUAGAGCCGCUCUAUUUUUUGUUUGAUUGGAGAGCUAUAUGAGUGAAAAAAAACAGAGCCUCUUCAUUUUUUUUGUUUGAUUGGAGAGCCGUAUGAGUGUAGAGGGGACGAGGGGCAGAGACUAAACACAGGACGAAAGCCCUCGGAAUCAGUUUAUAAUAAUAAUAUACAGAAACACAUUUCUAUUCCAAGCUUCAAAUAUAUAGCUCCACAAUAAAGCAUCAUCCUGUACAGUGAGUGAGUCUAUGGCUGCAACAGCUAGAGCUAGUAAUAGUCACCGGCAAUUAGUAUUGUAGCAAACAUAAGCACUGCUGCACGAGCUACAGCUACAAGCGGUGGUGGGCGCAGGAGGCAGUGCCGUCGUCGAAGUUCUGGUAGUAGCUAUGCAGGUCAUACCCAAACCUCACCGCGGUUCGCCUCGGCCGCGCCGCGCGUCUUCUCCAAGAGCGCCUCAACCUCGACAGCACAGCCGCUUCACCGCAGCAGCUGGCCGGCGGCCGCCGCUCCUGGCGUGGACGAGCCUCCCGCCCAAGCCGCUGCCCCCGGUGUACGGGCCUAGCAGAGACGCCGCCGCCAUGAUCGUUCACUCGGUCGGUUCACAGUUCUCACAGGUCACAGGUCACGGACGCUCUUGCCACUAACUAACUAGCUAGCUAGGCGCUCUGUCUGCUUCGAGCUGGAGUACGUACACUACAGUAAAAGAGGAAACGUU